This 77388-nucleotide long non-coding RNA is filed under the name Vitis vinifera (wine grape). RNAcentral's name for it is "long non-coding RNA (VVIN_LNC002204)". Lineage: Eukaryota; Viridiplantae; Streptophyta; Magnoliopsida; Vitales; Vitaceae. The record is from RNAcentral.
CCGAGGGGGCACCUACUGGAGCAGUGGAACCUUGAAAGAUAGGAGCUUUGAGUUCAUUACUUGGUUGAUGAGCCCUGACACUUUCAAUAACAUCUACAGUUUUAACAGUGUUUCGAAUGCAAACGAGAUUUACUUUAGCUAUUCAGUUCCAGACGGAGUUGUUUCAGAGUGGGUAUUGACCUCGGAAGGGGGACUUUUUGACACUAGUAGACCUGUAUUUGUGCUGGACGAUCUGUGCGACAGGUAUGAAGAAUAUCCAGGGUGUGCAGUGCAAAACCCACCCACUUGUAGGACUAGAAAAGACGGAUUCAUGAAGCAAUCGGUUCUCAUAUCAGGAUCACCAUCAUCAAUAAAAGAAAAUUCGAGCUUGGGCCUUAGUGAUUGUCAGGCUAUAUGCUGGAAUAAUUGUUCUUGUACUGCUUAUAAUAGUAUAUACACUAACGGAACUGGAUGUCGGUUUUGGAGUACAAAAUUUGCACAAGCCCUCAAGGAUGACGCAAAUCAGGAGGAGCUCUAUGUUUUAUCCUCAUCACGAGUUACGGGUAAGAGUCUCUCUGUAUUUUUGCAUUCCUGAAAGUAACCAAAGCAAAAGUAGUUGAUGAAUCCAACAUUUUUAUUGAAUUUACAACCCUAAUAGGUGAUCAAAAAUUCAAAAUACCAUUAGAGGAGCUAUAUCAAGACCAUAAAAGACCCUCUUUCACUCAGUUCUGCUCUAACCACAAAAUUUAUCAACUUCUAUCUAUGCAGGGAGCAGUUGGUGGAUAUGGGUCAUUAUUGCAGGAGUGGUACUUUUGGUCUUGUUACUUACGGGCUCCUUAUACUAUUCAAGGAGAAAAUUCAGAGGUAGUAUUUUAUUGUAACUUUUGUUGAUGAUAGUGAUGCCAUUGUUAAUGGGUUGGAUUGAACUUGUGACUUGUGGUAUAACAGGGGAAAGAGAAAUGGAGGAAGCUGCGCUGCUUGAAUUGGCAACUUCAGACAGCUUUGGUGAUUCAAAAGAUGAUGAACAUGAUGGAAAGAGGGGGGCUCAUGAUCUUAAACUGUUCAGUUUUGAUUCUAUUGUGGCUGCCACAAAUAACUUUUCACCUGAAAAUAAACUUGGAGAGGGUGGUUUUGGCCCGGUUUAUAAGGUAAAUAUUAUUAUUUCAUUAAUCCAUGGCAUGUAAUAGGAAUAGGACAUUCUUUGUUUUAAGUACCCCAAUUAAAGCUUCCUUGUGGAUUGUGGAUUAUUUUUGCAGGGGAAAUUACUUGAGGGGCAAGAAAUAGCAGUGAAGAGACUUUCAAGGGGCUCCAGCCAAGGAUUGGUGGAGUUCAAAAAUGAGAUUAGACUGAUUGUCAAACUCCAACACAUGAAUCUUGUUAGACUUUUGGGUUGCUGCAUCAAGGGAGAAGAAAAGAUGUUAAUCUAUGAGUUCAUGCCCAACAAAAGCUUGGACUUCUUCCUCUUUGGUUUGAAUACUUCCCUUUUUUUCUUCCUUUUAUCUGCAUAACUUUUCCUUAUGUUCUUUUUUUUUGCUUGAAACGAUUCACUAGCUGUGCGUUGUGUUUGCCCAAAUUUUCAGAUCCUGCUAGAAGAAAGAUAUUGGACUGGAAAAGACGUCACAAUAUCAUAGAGGGUAUUGCACAAGGACUUCUUUACUUGCAUAAAUAUUCAAGACUAAGAAUUAUUCAUAGAGAUCUAAAAGCAAGUAACAUCCUACUUGAUCAUGACUUGAACCCCAAAAUUUCUGAUUUUGGCAUGGCCAGAACUUUUGGGCGAAAUGCAUCGGAAGCAAAUACAAAUAGGAUUGUUGGAACAUAGUAAGCAUGACUUUUCUUUAUCUAUCAGCUUUCUUUUUCAGUCUAAUGUACUGAACCUUCAACUGUGGAUGCAGUGGUUACAUGCCACCCGAGUAUGCCAUGGAAGGAAUUUUCUCGGUGAAAUCAGAUGUUUAUAGCUUUGGGGUCCUACUGUUGGAGAUUGUGAGCGGCCGGAAGAACAAAAGCUUUCAUCAUAACCACGGUGCCUUUGCCAUAAACCUGGCAGUAUACGUAAGUCUGCUAUAUCUCAUAUUUGUCUCUACAUUAUUUUCAACAGCACCCGGUGUAUCCUUCCAAAAUUUUCAUACUAACCUAGUAAGUAAAUCAACCCUAAAAUGAACUGGAAACAGGCUUGGGAUCUAUGGAAAGAAGGUACUAGCUUGGAGCUAGUGGAUCCAAUGCUGGAGGAUUCCUACUCAACAACCCAAAUGUUGAGAUGCAUUCAUAUUGCUCUCUUGUGCGUACAGGAGAGAGCAGCAGAUAGGCCUACAAUGUCAGCUGUUAUCUCCAUGCUCACCAACGAAACUGUACCCCUACCAAACCCAAAUCUACCCGCAUUUUCCACCCAUCAUAAAGUGUCAGAGACAGAUUCACACAAAGGCGGGCCAGAGAGCUGUUCUGGAAGUGUAACUAUUUCAGAGACGGAAGGUCGGUAAAGAAGAGAAUUUCAGGGGGUGACAGGGAACCUAGAGAACAGCCGUUUUUGUCCUAACCUAUCAGCAAUUUGUCUAGAUUGAUUUGUAUUGCCACCAUAUAUUUAUUAGAUAUAGAGUCAACUAGGUUUCCCUCAAGGUAAUCUUUUUCAAAGCACAACAGAAGCUGAUUUGGUACCAUUUGAAACAUAGUUUUAACCUAUAGCCUGUGGCCCUAUUUGCCUUUUUUUUUUUUUUUCCGGGAAAUUUAUCUAACCAUACACCACAUACCAAAAUUUUGCCUUUUAGAAACUUUGUUUUUUACUUUUGAAAUUUAGUGGAUUUUGGGGGAAAUAAAUGUCUUUCCAUACACUGUAAUAACAAUGUUGAGACCCUUCCAAAAAUGCCCUCAUGCACUUUGACAGCUCUCCUAGUUGGAUCACCCACUUGGAAAAUUCACGUAAGCAAGGUCCAAGUUAGCUACCUACAACAGUUGAUGACAAGGUUCAUGUACAUGUCAUCAUCCAACUAGACAGUUCACAUGGAUUGAUUUUUUAAAACAUAUUUACCCCCAAAUGUCUUCUUCUCUCUUCAACCAACCCUAACACCAAAAACACAUGUUUUUUCUUCUUCAUUCAUAGGCACAACCCAUCACAAGGCGAAACGAUCCAUAAAAAAAUCUGGUGGCUUCUCAAUUUGCCAUAACCAAUUAACCCCAAACAAACCUCCAAACAAGAUCCCUUAUUUUAUUUCUCCUCCAUCACCAUAAGAAAGACGACAUCAUCAUUUUCCCACCAAACAUCAAUUCGAAAACAAAAGUCCAAGUGUGAAAUGCCUAACAAAGCCUAAGUAGACAAAGAGCCCCUUUCCUUUUUCUCAUUUCAACAUCGACAAAGUCAUUUCUUCCCUUCUUGUACUUCCUCUUUUGCUUUUGCGUUGAAAAAUGAGAAAGAAAGCAAUUGAGAGAAAGAGGGAACAAAGCAAUUAAAUAUUGUAGUUGCAUUUAACUUUUAAAGUAAGGGUUUUUCCAGAUGAUAUAUGUAUUUUAUUAAAUUUUGUAAUAACUAUUUAUUUUGAUUUGUCAUUUUGAUUCUUUGAGAUUUGAAUACUGUUAUAGUUAUGUGAUUUGUGGAAUUUUGUGAUUUAAACUUAAUUACAUUGCAUAUUUGUACAUGUUGAAUGUUCAUUAAUAUUGUAUUCAAUUUUAUAUUUUAAUUUAUUUAGGGUUUAUUUGAAAUGAAAUAUGGUUUAAAAUUUGAUAAAUGAUAGGAAAAUGAGAUGGUGGUAAGUUAUAUUGAUUUUGUUUUAUUUUCUGAAUUGUUGUGUUUGUGUUGUACAUGGUUGUUGGGAAGAAUAUAGAAAAGAGAAGAAAAAUAUGACUAUUGAAUGAGAAGGGAAUACAAUUUGUAUAUGGGAUUCAAGAUGUUUUGUUGUUUAAUGUUGUUUAUAUGGGAUUCCAAAAUGAGUAGGUUGAGUUUUUUUUUAUAGUUGUUAAUUGGUGAAUUUAAUGCAUAGGAAAAGAAUUCAUGUUUAGUCAUAAGUAAAUGAGUAUAAAUUUUAAAAAUGAUUGGGAGUAAAGUUUGAAUAAAUUUCUUCAUAAAAGUUUUGAAUUUGUAAUGAAUGAGGGUUGAAUUGAAAAAGAAAAUAAAACAAAUGUAGUAAAGCAGACAUGAAUUUAUGUUGGAAUUAGGAAAAAUAGUAGUGGAGCCUUAGGUGGAAAUUUGAUGCUCACUGUCACAAAUAUGAAAUUUGUUUUGUUUAUAUGUGUGUAAUGGUCAUAGUAAGUGUCUACCCUUGGAUGAAAGGGUUGACCGUAAUUGAGGUAAUGACAUUUGGAUGGAAUAAUUGUUUUUGUAAGAGGUUGCAGUAAGUAAUUAGUGGUUGACCCAUUUGUUUGGAGGUAGGCCCUUAAUUGUAAACAUUGUUGUGGUCUAAUAUAGGCAAUAAGCAAAAUAAAGGAAGACCCAUUGUUUCAGGGGUUGCCCCGAAAACAGGGCCAUUAGCAUAAUUUAGCUUGAAAAAUUACAAAAACAAUGGUUGGCCCAUGAAUUGAGAGAUUCACUUCCCAACUUAUAUAACAUAACAAAUUACUGCCAAAUGAAAUAGAAUAAUUGCAUUGUUUAAUGUUAAGUAUACGCUAUGCAUGUUCAUAUUUACAACAUUAAUUGAAGACCAUGAAAUGUAAAUGAAGCUCACUUGUAAAGUUCCAAAGAUAAACGAUGUAUUAGUAAUUUGGUCAUAAGUGUGAUAAUCAGUUUUGUUAUAAGUAAUUUGGUUUAAGCAGUGUUAUUAAAAAAUUAGUUAAUUGUUUCAGCUUGACUAAAGGUUCAUGUUUCUAACACAUGAUCGAGUAUCAUUUAAAUGGAUCCAAGUAAUACAAUUUAUUAUUAUCUGCACAUUGAAAGAGAGCUAGUAAGGGGUGAACAUGGCAGUAUGGAAUAUAUGGGUGGGAGACGAGAGAGUAUAAGUUUAGAAUGAUCAAUGACAUAUAAUGAUUUUGUUUCAAGGAUUUGUGGGAAAAUGAGCAUUGAUAUAGUGGGACCAACAUUUUCAUACACUCUUCCAUUUGAUCUAUAUGCACUUCAACCAUUGAAAAAUGAUGAAGACUUGACAAACAUGUUUCAAUUUAGUGACUAAUUCACACGUGUAUAUAUAUGUUUAGCAUCAAUAGUUAAAGGCGAUGAAACGGUUGACAAUGAAGGACAAAGGUAAGUUUAUCAAAAGAAUAUCUAAUCUUAAAUGAUUUCGUGUAUUUAUUUAUUUAUUAAUAUUUAUGUUUAUUCAUUAGAUGAUAAGUUGAUAAAUAAAUAUAUUUAUAAUGCAAAUUGAACGAAACAAUGGUAAGGUCAAACUCACUGGUCCCAUAUUCAACAUGGGAUGUUGAUAUUAAUUAGAAUGCAAUCACGAGGAUUUUAUCAAAGAUGUGUUGAAUCACAUGUUGGUCCACUAGAGUCGAGUUAUUUUGAGAGUGCAAUAUUGGGUAGUGGGCAUACCUUUUCAACUGCAAAUGACUUUUGAGAUGCAAUAUAUCUCAUGUCAAUAGGAAACCAUUUUAGAUAUAAGUUUAGGAGGAAUUGCCUUAAGCAUAUGACUGUAAUAUGUGUUAUUGAAGGAUGCCCUUGGAAAGUAACUACUUGUGUUGUUGGGAGAACAAAAAUAGUUCAGGUGCAUACAUUUAUAAAUGAACUUAACCAUUCUUUAGAAGAUGUGUCAGUUUCUAAACCAAUAGUUCGUUGUAAUCGAGCCACAACUAUGAUUGAUAAUGUUAUUCAUUCAAAUCCAAAUUACUUGUCUCGUCAAAUAUGUAAAGACUUUCAUCGACAAUACAAAAUGCAAUUGAAUUAUUGUCAAGCAUGGAACUUGAAAGAGAAGGCUAAAGAACAAAAUCAUGGUGUGCCCCAAUGUUCAUAUAAGUUGUUGCCUUGGUUGUGUACAAGGCUUAUUGAAACAAAUCCAGGGACGAUUGCUGAAUAUAAAUGUUCGGAUGAUGGUCAUUUCAUGCAAUUGUUUGUUGCCCUUUCAGUGUCAUUACAUGGGUUUAAAAUGGGGUGUCGGCCUAUUAUAUCAACAGAUUCAUCCCACAUGAGUGAGUCAUACAAGGGUGCUUUAUUUUUAGCUUCUUCGUAUGAUGCUAACAAUGUCAUGUUUCCACUUGCUUAUUGCUUAUUUAGCUUCGAGAAUUACGAGGAUUGGCUUUGGUUCUUAGAGAAAUUGAAGAUGGUCAUAGGUGAAACAAAGGUUAUAAUAAUAUCUAAUAGGCACGAAGGAAUUAUCCGUAGUGUUUUAGAUGUAUUCAGCAGUGAAAAUCAUGCACAUUGCUAUCAUCACAUUAAAGAAAACUUUAGUAGCUUACUAACAAAGUUGAACACUAAAUGGAGGAAAAUAAAGGAAAAUGCUUUGCAAAUGCUCGAUUCUAUCACCUAUGCUAGGUUAGAUUGUGAUUAUGAGGUUACAAUGGAUACUUUAAGGACAUUUAAUCAUGAUUUGGCAAAGUGGGUUGAAAAAAAUAACCCUCAACAUUGGGCAAUCUCUAAAUUUAAGAUGCGUUGGGAUAAGAUGACAAAUAAUCUAGCUAAGUCUUUCAAUUCUUGGUUAAGACAUGAAUGACACCAUAACAUUUGUGUUUUCUUCAUUGAGCAUAUGGAUAAGUUAGGAUCUCUUUUAGUCGAGCACAAAAAUGGACUUGCAAAAUGGAAUGGGUGCAUUAGUCCUAAAAUAGAAGAAAAUAUUGCAUUGAACAUUGCAAAAGGUGAAAAUUAUAUCACUUAUUUACACUUGGGUAGUUCGAUGAAAGUAUCCAAUGGAAAAGUAUUCUUGGAAAUGGACUUAAUGAAGUGAACUUGCACAUACAAAGCAUGGCAAAUGUCUGGAAUCCCAUGUGAUCAUGCUUGUGUAACAAUAUGAAGAAUGGGGUUCGAUGUAUCUGAUUAUGUUGAUGACUGGUAUAAGUACAAUUUGCAAGAGAAUAUAUACUCUGGAAGCAUGUGUACUUUGGUAACGCAUGACAUGCCAAUGAUUGAUGAAGAUGGAACCGUUCGUGAUGCCUUGGGUCAUACUUAUCCUUUUCUUAAUCUUUCAACCACAAAGCAACCUCCUGGAAGACCUAAGAAACAUCAAAUUAAGUCUCAAUUCAUGUAAAAAAAAAAAAAAACGGUUCAUUGUUCUUGUUGUAAUGAGCCUAGGCAUAAUUGUGCUACAUGCAACAACCCAUUGUCGUAACUAUUUAAUUAAACUUCAUAAUGUAACAUCGACUUUAUAUUAGUAUGUAAUAAUUUGGUAAUCUUCAUCGUUGUUUCCCUGAUUAUAAGCAAUGACUAAUUUAUUGGAUUUGUAGUGUUUGGUGUACACAUAUUGUGAUUAUAUGUUGUUCUUCAAUAUUAUGGGAUAUGUUACAUGAUAAUAAAAUUGCAAUAACAAAAUGUGUACCUUGGUGAUGAUUGUUCAAAGAUGUCAUUAAAGUCACAUAAAUUCACAUGGAAAAACAAAUUGUUAACUAGUGGGCAUAAUCGUGGAUGACCUUUACAUGUAUGGGUUGUCAUUUUUUGGCUGAUGACCCUUAAUCAUAUUAUUUAGUUUUGUGGGAAGUGGUCAGUAACCAAAAUAAGGGCCAACCUAUUAGGUCAUAAGCAGUCCUAUCGUUUUUCUUAUUUAAAAUUGGUUUUGUGUUAUGUGAGGAGUCGGUAAAAGGGAGGUUGACCCAUUGACACCAUGGGAAGGCAUUCGAACGUUUACACUAUACAGUUAGAAUUAAUGGAAUUUCUUUUAUACAAUAACAUUAGUUUGGUAUGUUAUGUGUAGAAGUUGAUCUAAGGGCGCACCCUCCAUUUCAAAGGCAUGCCUAUGUGUGAAUGACAUUAUAUUACCAUGUUAUAUGCAGAAGGCAAAGUAGGGGCACACCCUUCGUUGCAUAGGCAUGGGCAUGGGUAUGAUAACAUUAUUUUGGUAUGUUAUGUGUUGUACACAAACUAGGAGUACACCAUUGAUUUUAGAGGCAUGCCUAUUGGUGAAACCAUUAUAUUGGUAGGCUAUGUCCAGUAGUCAACCUAAGGGCACAACCUUCAUGGAAGAUGCAUGAAUGUGGGUGAAAAACUUGAUUUUUUUAAGCUAUGUGCAAUAGGAAAAAUAUAGGCAUGACUCUAUCGGAGGCAUUCCUUCAAGAUGACUAGAUUUAAGGUGUGUGUUGGGUAGUAAGGCAAAUAGAGGCAUGUCGAUAGUUUGAAAGGUUGACCCUUGACGUUCAUAUGAAAUAAGCAACCACCAAAGGAAUAAAUGAACAAAAGUUAUGCAUUAUCAAAUGUUUGGUAAAGACCAUAUGUUCUAAUGUUUAGCAUAGUAAUGUCAUACCAUCUAGUGUUAAUGAAGUUUAGUUGUAUUGUUUAUAAUCUAAGCAAGGCAUUAAUCAUAAUGACAAUAGGUGUGAAUGUGACAAUUGUUAUAGUUAAUUAAUUUUGGCAUGGUUAGUUACAAAUACUAUUGUAAGCAAUUAAAUACCUAAUGGGGUCCAAAAAAGGGAUUAAAAUAUUUUAUGCUUAUUUUAUAAAUGAUGUAAUUCUUUUUGGAAGGAAUAUAUGUAUUAUUGCACAUAUUAACGUACACACACGCACGUGCGCGCGCGCGCACACACACACACACACACACACACACACACACAUAUAUAUAGAUGUAUUAAAGUAAGAAGGCAUGAGGUCUCAGAUUGAUGUUAAAAAAAUGUACAAUACUUUAUUAAAGUUAAUAAAGAACAGAUUGAUCUUAAAGAUAUAUGAAACAUUGUGGAUGAUAUUACGAGGGUUUGAAACUCUGUUAAAUGGUGGUGAACGACUUCCCAUCAGUUCCUAUGGGUUCUCGGUAGCAUGAGGCCUUGAAAUACCAAAAUUUCUUACAAAUGUACCAAAUUUUAUAAAAUAAAAAAAAAUGUACCAAAAGUUGUAAAUGAUGUAGCAAAAUUUGUCAAGGAUGUACCAAGGGUUUAAAAGUCUGUUCAAGAGUAGCGAACGACCUUUCAUCAAUUAACACAGAUCCUUAAAUGAAAUAAUGGAUCAUAGGUGAUAAGAUGGGUGUUUCAAUGGCAAUAGGAUUAAAUGUACCAAAUUUUAUAAGGGGUCUCGACAACAAUAGGAUCGGAUGUACCAAAUUUUAUGAAGAAUGUAUCAAAUUUUGUGAAGAAUGUACCAAGGGUUCCAACGUGCAUUCAGAUAUGAGGAACAACCCCCAAGCACUUCCUUAUAGGUUCUCAAAUGAAAUUAUGGACCUUAAGUGAUAAGAUGGGGGUCCUAGAAGUAAUAUGAUGAGAUAUACCCAUAUUUUAUAAAAGAUGUACCAAAUUUUAUGAAGAAUGUAACAAGGGUUCCGAAGUGCACUCAGAGGUGGGGAUCGACCCCCAAUCACAUCUUUAUGGAUUCCCAAAUGAAAUUGUGAACCAUCUAUGUCCAAAUGGGAGUCUUGAAAGCAAUAGGAUUGGAUGUACCAAAUUUUGUGAAGCAUGUACCAGAUUUUAUGAAAGAUGUACCAAGGGUUCCAAAGUGCAUUUCGAGGUGGGGAUCGACCACCAAUCACUUCCUUAUGGGUUCCCAAAUGAAAUUAUAGACCCUAGGUGAUAAGAUGGGGGUCCUGAAAGAAAUAGGAUGAGAUGUACCAAAUUUUGUGAAGAAUGUAUCAAGGGUUCCAAAGUGCGUUUUGAGGUGGGGAUCGACCCCCAAUCACUUUCUUAUUGGUUCCAAAAUGAAAUUAUGGACCAUGAGUUAUAAAAUGGGAGUCUCGACAACAAUAGGAUCGGAUGUACCAAAUUUUGUGAAGGAUGUACCAAAUUUUCCAAAGCAUGUUUCGAGGUGGGGAUCAGCCACGAAUCACUUCCUUAUGGGUUUCCAAAUGAAAUUAUGGACCCUAGGUGAUAAGAUGGGGGUCCCGAAAGCAAUAGGAUGGGAUAUACCAAAUUUUACAAAGGAUGUACCAAUUUUUUUUUAAGGAUGUACCAUAUUUUAUGAAGGAUGUACCAAGGGUUCCAAGGUGCUUUCUUAGGUGGGGAUUGACCCCCAAUCACUUUCUUAUGGGUUUCAAAAUGAAAUUAUGGACCAUAAGUGAUAAGAUAGGGGUCCCAACAAUAAUAAGAUCGAAUGUACCUUAGAUUUUUUUAACCGUGUUUCUUAGUAACUUGAUGAAAGUUAUGUACAUUUUUUAACGUUAAUCUGAGACCUCAUGGCCUCUUACUUUAAUCUAUCUAUUCUUUUGAGAAAUUGACAUACAUCUAUUGUUUUACACACACACACACACACACACACACACAUAUUCCUUACAAAAAGAUGCACUUCAUUUAUAUAAUAAGCAUAAAUUAUUUUAAUCCCUUAUGCCGACCUCAUUAGGUAUUUAAUUGCUUACAUAAAUAUUUGUAAUUAACCCUACCAAAACUAAUUACCUAUAACAAUAGUCUUAUUCACACCUAUAACCAUCAGAUAUUAAUGCCUCAUGUAAAUUAUGAACAAUUCAACUCAACUUCAAUAACACUUGAUGUUAUGACAUUAAUGUGAUAAAUAUUAGAACAUAUGGUCUCUACCAAACAUCAGAUAAUGCAUUACUUUUAUUUAUUUAUUUAUAUGGUGGCCACUUAUUUGAUAUGAUCGUCAAGGGCCAACCUUUCUAGCUUUGGGCAUGUCUCCAUUUGUCUUACUGCCCAACCCGCAUAUCAAAUAUAAUCACUUUAAAGGCAUGCCAUAGACAUAAGAGGCAUGCUUAUCUUUUCUACUGCACAUAGCAUAACAAAUUUAAGUUUUCACCCACAUUCAUGCAUCUUGCAUGAGGAGUGCGCCCCUAGUUUGACUAUUGCACUUAGCCUACCAAUAUAAUGUCUUCACCAAUAAGCAUGCCUCUUAAAUAAAUGGUGCACCCCUAGUUUGUGUAUUGUAUAUAGCAUACCAAAAUAAUGUUAUCAUACCCAUGGCAUGCCUUUGCAACAAAGGGUGUGCCCCUAGUUUGCCUUUUGCAUAUAGCAUACCAGUAUAAUGCCUUUGCACAUAGGCAUGCCUUUGAAAUAAAGGGUGUGCCCUUAGAUUGACUUCUAAAUAUACCAUAGUAAACUAAUGUUAUUAUUAUUUUUAAAACAAAUUCCAUUGCUUCUAAGGGUACAAUGUCCACGUUCGAAUGCCUUCCUAUCAGGGAUUGAAAAAUCGGAAAAUAUCGUCGAUAUUUCGAAGAAAUAUUGAAUAUCGGUCGUCACCGAAACGAUAAUCGCCACCGAUUAUCGAUCCACGGAAAUAUCGCCAAAAAAUCGGCAAAAUCGCCGAUAUAUCGACGAAAUAUCGAUGAAGGACCGAUAAAUCGGAGAAAAAGGAUCUGACACACGGAGCAACCGGAGGUAUUUUUACCGAUUUUUCCGAAAAUUUCCCGAUAUUUCCUACUAGUCCAGCCCGCGCAGUUGUGUUUUUCAGCCUGGCUCAAAAAUCAUGGAUUUAGGGUUCGUGAAAUUUAAAUCCAAUGGCACAACAGCAAAGAGACCCCUAAAACAGAUCCAGAAAACACAAGAAGCAAAAGAAAAGCAAUUUUUUUUUGUUUUCUUUGGGGGUUUUGAAUGGAUUUUCUCGGAAAUCAAACAAGGAUGAAUUUUCCCGGAAAUCGAAUGGGGGUGGAUUUUCUUGGGAAUCAAACUGGGGUUGCAAAAAAAAAUAAUAAUAACAUGAUUAGAUUAGUACCUGCGAGGAUUGAGAUUUGAGAGUAGCAGAGGAAAAUAGGGCUUUUUUUUAGGGUUUCUCUCGUUGGAGGACAACUUCAGAAAAGGGUUCUUGAUGCCCCGUGCCCGAGAGAGAAGUGGGUGCCUUUUUUAUUUUUUUAUUUUUAGAUUUAGUGGAGAUAAAAAAAUAAAAAAUAAAAAAUAAAAAAAUCAUGAGAACAAUUUUCCACUCUCUAUAUAAAUAAUUAUUAAUUAUCAACCUUUAUUUUGAUUAUUAAAUAAAUUAAUAUUAAUAGAAAAAAUUGUUACACAUAUUUUUAAUAAAAUUUUAAAAAUUAAAUCUCAAAUAAGAUAUUUUAUAUAAAUUAAUUUAAUUUUUUAUUUAAAAUAUAAUAAAAUAUAUUUUAAUAAAAGUAUUUUAAAAUUUUUAAAAUAAAUAUUGUCUUCAACAAGAUGAACUCCCUUCAUAUAAUAAUAUAACGAAAUCACAUUGAUAUCUUCCUUAGUAUAAGGACUAUUGCAAUCUCAUAUGUAUUAUAUUUAUAUAUAAAUUGUUUUUAUUUAAUAAAAUUAAAUAUUUCUUAACUCAAUUUUAACUUUAUACACUUUCAAAAUUCAUAUAUAUUAUUUUUAAAAUUCAAAUAUCGAAUCUACCAAUAUAUCUCUGUUUACGAUAUUUUUCUUCUUAAUUAUAUAUAUAUAUAUAUAUAUCAAUUACACUUAUAAGAUAACUUUAAAAUGUGUAUUCUUACUUAUUUUAUCAUUUUUUGAAGUUUUUUAAAGCAUUCCUAUUAAUUUUAAAUAAUUUUCACUCCACCGAUAUUUAUGAAAAAAUAUCCACCGAUAUUUCCGAUAUAUCCGUAAAAUUGAAGUACCGAUAUAUUCGUAAAAACCGAUAUUUCAAUCCUUGCUUCCUAUUAAACAAUAAGUCAACCUUCCUUUUACCAACUACCCACAUAACACAAAACUAAAGGGUCGACCCUUAUUUUUGCUACUAACCACUUCAAACAAAACUAAUAAUAUGAUCAAGGGUUAUCAACCAUAAAAUAGCAACCCCGCAUGUAUAGGUUAGUCACUAUUAUGCCCACUGGUUAAUAAUCUUUUGUCUUUUAUUUUUAUUUUUUCCGAAAAGCUCUUGGGUGAAGUUUUUCACUUGAUUCCAACUAUUGUGCUAGUGUAUUUGUUUUCUAAAGAUCCCAAGUGUAGCAACCAGUGCUUCAUUGGUCACUUCUCUUAAGUUCUUCAAUUAGCUUACUCUUUUCCUUUAUAGUAGCCUUAAGUGCUUCAAGGCUAACACCCUCGAUUUCAUGGACAUAGUUUGCCUCCACCUUUGCAGUUCAUUUACUUAAAAACGUCAUAACAAUGAACCUCUUGUUGAAUCCUUCAGCAUCAGUGGUUGUGAUAAUGGACACUUGUAUAUAAAUGAAUCCAUUGUUUUGGAAGAAGGCGUGAGUUGCAUGAGUAAAGGCAUUGCGGGUUCGCAUAAUGAAUGCCACCUACAAGUUUUAAAGUAGAAAUUAAAACAAAAUGACCUAAUUAAUUUUUAGUCAAAGCAUUUAUCAUGGAUUUAGAUAAGAAGCUGCAUGGAACAAAAAGAUUAAUUAUGGUUGUUGCUUAUGGCUAUGUCAUUGACAGUUAAGAAGGUAUGCCCACUACCCAAUAUUGCACUCUCAAAAUGACUCGACUCUAGUAGACCAACAUAUGAUUCAACACAUCUUUGAUAAAAUUCUUGUGAUUGCAAUCUAAUAUCAUCAUCCUUUGUUAAAUAUGAGACUAUUAAGUUAGACCAAACAAUUGUUUUGUUCAAUUUGCAUUAUAAAUAUGUUUAUUUAUCAACUUAUCAUAUAAUGAAUGAACUUUUUUUCCUCAAUGAUUUUCAAUUCUAAAGAGCUUCCAUUUUUGUUAUAAAAAAAUUACUAAUUUAACAUUUCCUAAAAAUGAUCCAUUUCCAUAUUGAAAACAAUUUUUCGAUCAGGUUUCCCAACCCCCUAACCAAACAUAUUUUCAGUGUCAUUUCCAUUUAUUUUCUUAAACAACCAUUUGCCAAACACCCCUAUAAUUUUGGAUCCUAUAAGCCUAAAGCCCUACAAAUCAAAACCCACCAAGGUCACACUCUCCAAUACAAUUCCUCAUUUCACCAAGUGAAAAAUCAACCCAAUUCAAUACCCACCAUCUAGAUCAACCCAAUUAACACUUCAAAAACAUUAAAAAAAUCAAGCCAAACCCAAAAAAUGCUCAUUAAUCACACCACAACCCAAAAAAUCAAAUAAAACCCUCAUCAAAUCCUAUACUAACUUUGCACCAAGAAAACAAAACCACACGAAACACGAAACCCUAGUACAAGAUUAACUAAUUCAAUCAAAUUCACAUCCAACAGUUCACAAACAUGGCCAAAAACUAAAAUUCACAAGCCAAAUAAUUGCGAGUCGGACCUGAAAAUCAAGAACUGUACUUGUAACUUGACUUGUCUGAAAAUCUCAACUUUGAAGCCACCCAAAGUGCGCGAGAUAAGCAAAAUGGGUGCACAGUGAUUCAUGCCCAAUUGGUGUCUCAGCUGAUUCGUGUCCAGCUGGUGCUCCUUGAUUGAGGGAGUAAUCAACAAAAUUUAUAACCUAUUACACCAUAUACUAGGGUAGCAAAGACAAAGCUACUAUAGCAUAGUGGCUCUAGGAUCGUUCACUGGGAUGGGUUUUCACUUUGCAAAUGAUAUUAAUUCAAAGCUGAAUUGGUGCCUUUUCAUUUCAAGGUUAGCUUUAAAAGAAAACAUAAAGAUGUUUGAAUGAAAAAGGUUUGGUUUUAAACUAACCAAAAAUAGUAACUGAUUUUACUUACAAAGAAAAGUGUUUCUUGGAGUUCAGAUCACUAGGCUCAGGUUCCUCAUACAAAAAGGAGAGUUCCGAUCACUUGUUUCUUUUCCUCGCAUUAGAGAAUUAACAUAUAGUUAAUUCUCUAACCGGUGUUGUACAGAUGCUUCCCAUUAAUGGGUUCAAACACUAAAUCCCUCUCACUGAUGCACUUUGCAAUGGUUCAUGCCUCUCACUAGCACUUACGAUUCAAGGUGAUCUUUAACCUUGGAUUACCCAUCAAAAGCUCGCAAGAGAUAACUAAUGGAUGUCUCCUUGGAGUCCAAAAGCUUACCAAGUGUUGGCUAUUCUAGAAAAUCCUACCUUCAAGUCACCUCCCAAAGGCUCGCAAGAGAUAAACUAGUGAAUCUCCAUGGACGGAGAUCACUUGCCUUACCAAGUGUUGGCUCAAGUGAAUUAAAGGCGUUUUAAGUUAACUAAAAAGAUAAAAACCAUUAACGGGUCACACUUUCUCUUCAUUAAAAACUAAAACAACAAAACUUCCAAAUUAUGCAUGUGGAAACUUACCCGGCUUUCCUCACUCCAAGAGACAAAGAGCCUAGCCUCUCAUCCUCUGAGGAAAAAUCCUCAGAGUUUGUUUGGCUAGCAAGAAAACUAACGAGAAAACAAGAAUAUAUAUGAAAAACAGAGCAAGUGCUCUGUUCGUUGAUUCUAUAUAUGAUAUCUCUAUAUAUCUUUCUAUAUCUAUUACAGUGGAUGCAAGGGAAUAUAUAUAUAUAGAUGUUUUUCCAACCUUCCUAGCUAAGAAAUCUUAUGGUUGGUGGAUUACAAGGAGAAGAAUGGAAAUUUAUACAAAAAUAUCUGAAGAAAAGAUCUAAAAGAUUCGGUGCACAAAUAUCGGGAAGCAUUAAGGACCAUUUCGCAGGUGAAAACGAGGUCUGCGAGAUUUCGCAGAUGCACACAAAGGGCUACGAAAUUACUUCGCAGCAAACGGCUGACUUCGCAACGCUGCGAAGUGUUCUUUCAGCUUGUGGUGUUCAGCUUCCAACGUGAUGGGAAACUUCAAGGGGAAUUCCACAGCAUUGUGCAAAAAGGCUGCGAAAUCAUCUCUCAACAAAAGGGUGAUUUCGCAGCGCUGUGCAAAAUUCUUCCUUCAACUUGGAGUGAUCUGCUUGAAAUGGUUGUAAAUCCUUCGUUUCAACUUCGAAUCGUGCACCGUUUGAAGCAUUGGAUUGUUGACUUCAUGAGCUUUGAAAUGGUAUAUAGAAUGUAGAAAAUAGACUUCGGGAAGUGCUCCAAAAGUACGAAAGAAGACUGCAGCUGUUGUCCUCUGUUUUCUCCACUUUGUUUUUCCUCUCUCCUUUGUUCUUUCCUUGCAUACUUUGAACGACUUUGGCAAAGGGCUAUGGAGCUCCAAAGCUGGUUCUUCAUGAAUUUGAGCUUUCCAUUGCUUUGCCAUGGAUUCCAAAUAACUCUCCUCAAUCUUGGAUUGCUUUGGUGAUCAAAAAGCUAUCAAAACACCAAAACUUAACACAAUUUGAUUAGAAUUGAUUGCAAGGGUCCUUAACAUGUUAAUUGGGUUAAAAGGCAAUAACUACUACUCAAAAGUGUUUAAAAGAAUUAAUUACAAGCUAUCAAAUAGCACUUUUUGAGUAGUAAUCACAUAGGAUUUUAGAAGUAGACUCCCUUUAUGAGUUUUUUGAGUUAGGGUUUGAUUGAAGAGAGAAGAAGGCUAAAUCUCACUAUCUGUUUCGUUAUUUUUUGGGAAAUAUUUUUUUUUAAAUCAUUCCACGUGGAUUGUCUAGUUGGAUGGUGGCAUAGACAUGAGCCAUAUCAUUAGCUUAAGUGGGUAACUUACUUUGACUGUGCUCACAUGGCUUUUCCAAGUAGUUGAUCCAAUUGGAAGAGGUGUUAAAGUGUAGGAGGGCAUUUUUUAAAGGAUCUCAACAUCACUAUUACAGUGUAUGGAAAGGUAUUUAUUUUCCCUAAAAUCCACUAACCUUCAAAAGUAAAAAGUAAAAUUCCCAAAAAGCAAAUUUUUGCCCCCUAAUGUAUGGCUACAUAAAUUUCUUUUUUUUUUUUUUUUCCUCCAUAACGUAUUAUAAUAGAUUGUACAUGUUUAUCUUAGCCAUGGUAUGAUAAAAAAUAUGUUAUAUGCUACACAUAGAGAAAAACACUCCAAACGACCAAAGUAGAAAGUGGAGAUAGUUUAUGACUGAUCCUCACUCAAUUUGCACAUAACACCACUAGUUAACCAAACUUCAGCCUCCAUGCUUCAAGUAAUCCAUAGCCAAGUUCUUCUCAAGAGACAUAGGUCAUUUAUGGAGACAUAGGUCUUCAAAUCUGAUGAUGGGAAAUGUCCACCUCCUCCUAAAGUGCAAGAUUUUACCAUGGUUUUAAAAACCAAACCAGACAGGCCGGUCCAACUACCAACCAGUCACGGUUCCAAUUCGGUCUGGUCAAUUAGGUCAAAAAGUGGUCGGAUCGAAAUUGGACCGAUUAAACCAGUGGUCCGAUCGGGAAUUGUUCGGUUCAAUUUUAUUUUUCCACUGUCAUCAUUUCCCAUCGACGAGACCCCUACCCUCCUUGCAAAGCCAUUCCCACGCUGGAAAAGCUUUUAUUGCCCACUGGAACACCCCCGCCCCCUCCUCCUCGUUGGAACCCCUUUUUGUUUAUCGAAAUCCCUCCCACCCGAUACUGGAAACUCUAUCCCCCAAAACCCAUUGGAACCCUUUUUUGCCCACUCAUCUCUUCUCUUUUUCCAGAUUUUUUUAUUAGUAUUAUUUUUUACUUCAUCUCAUUAUUAUUAUUUUUCUUUUGUAUUAAUUAUUUUUUUAUUUCAUGAUGUUUAAAACUUAUGAUUUUAAUUUAAAUUAAUGAAAACAUUACAAUUUUAAAUAAAUUCCUAAUUUAAAAAUAAUUUUUUUAUUUAAAAAUGAAUUUUAAAUUUCUAAUUUGAAACUAAUUUUCUGAUUUUCAAAUAAAAUUUUAAUUUUUAAAUAAUAUAUUGUGGACACUGCAUUUCGGCUCAAUGCAUUUCCCACUCGAUGGUGAGCUCGAUUUUUUAUUUGAAAAUUUGAUUCUUAUUUGAUUAAGAAAACUGACUUGGAGUCGCCACUUAUUUUUUGUUUUAUUUUAAAAGGGUAAACAAAAUAAGAAAGAAAACCCUAAGUGUGACUCCUUGUUUUGGAAAAGGUGGUCUGUGAAAAAUCGGAGCGGGCUCGGAGGUCAGAUUGCUUAUUGGGAAGGUACGGUACAGACCGUAGCACCCCUCUAAUAGUCGGGUCUCUACUAAUAGAAUGAAACUGACGUGACAAUCAAUGAGAAAAUCAAGGGACACUCACCUAAAUCAUGCAGAAUAUGGGAAUCAAAACACACAAUAGAGAUUGACUAGAAUGGGAGUGGAUGCGUACCUCGGCCACGAGCCACAAUGCGCUAUUAAGAAACGGGAUUAGUGCACAAUUAAUGAAUACAAAAUAUAGCUCAUGCAUAUCGGAGUGUAAACGAAACUCAAGCGAAAUACAUUAAGCACGACAAUUUACAAUCAAAAGGGAUCAAACAUAGGGCCCCCACCAAAGCCCAAUUUUUCAUUCAUGAACUAGUCUCACAAAUCCCGUGUUUUAGAAUUAUGAAGAAUUCAUUAUUGCUUACGUAAAAUCAAGAAGAUCAUAAGAUUAUUCAGGAACCAAAAUGGGAUUAAAACUAUUCGACUGAAGACUGGAUUCUUGGAGUUUAUUUGAAAAUUGGAGUAUUUGGAAUUAAAUUUAAAAGAUUAGAGCUCCGGUAAUUAAAUUGAAAUUUGUUAAAUAAGAUGAGAAAUGAACUUUAGGAAAUUGAUCUACGAAAAUAUGGAUUUUGAAAGUUGAAUUUGUAAUAAUAGUAAUAAUAAGAAAUGAACUUUAAGAAAUUGGACUGCGAGAAUAUAGAUUUUAAAAGUUGAAUUAAUAAUAAUAAUAAUGAUAAGAAAUGAACUUUAAGAAAUUAAACUACGAGAAUAUAUAUUUUGAAAGUUGAAUUAAUAAUAAUAGUAAUAAUAAUAAUAAUGAUAAUAAUAGUAAUAAUAAUAAUAAUAAUAAUAAUAAUAAUGAUAAUAAUAAUAAUAAGAUUUUGAAAGUUGAAUUAAUAAUAAUAAUGAUAUUAAUAAUAAUAAUAAGAUUUUGAAAGUUGAAUUAAUAAUAAUAAUAAUAAUAAUAAUAAUAAGAUUUUGAAAGUUGAAUUAAUAAUAAUAAUGAUAAUAAGAAUAAUAAUAAUAAUAAUAAUAAUAAUAAGAUUUUGAAAGUUGAAUUAACAAUAAUAAUAAUAAUAAUAAUAAGAUUUUGAAAGUUGAAUUAAUAAUAAUAAUGAUAUUAAUAGUAAUAAUAAGAUUUUGAAAGUUGAAUCAAUAAUAAUAAUAAUAAUAAUAAUAAUAAUAAUAAGAUUUUGAAAGUUGAAUUAAUAAUAAUAAUAAUAAGAUUUUGCAAGUUAAAUUAAUAAUAAUAAUAAUAAUAAUAAUAAUGAUAAUAAUAAUAAUAAUAAUAAUAAUAAUAAUAAUAAUAAUAAUAAUAAUAAUAAGAUUUGGAAAGUUGAAUUAAUAAUAAUAAUGAUAAUAAUAAUAAUGAUAAUAAGAAUAAUAAUAAUAAGAUUUUGAAAGUGCUUUGGGUUCCAUCCCCAUCAUAAGCCCAAGUCUAUGAACCCAAGUCCAUUCAUUAAAAAAGCUUUGGGCUCCAUCUCCAUCAAGCCCAUGUCCAUUCAUUAAAAGAAGCCCAUGUCCAUUCAUUAAAAGAGCCUUGGCUCCAUCUCUAUCAAGCCCAUGUCCAUUCAUUAAAAGAAGCCCAUGUCCAUUCAUUAAAAGAGCCUUGGGCUCCAUCUCCAUCAAGCCCACGUCCAUUCAUUAAAAGAACCUUGGGCUCCAUCUCCAUCAAGCCCAAGUCAUUAAACUAAAAGGAGCCCAGGUCCAUUCAUUAAAAGAAGCCCAUGUCCAUUCAUUAAAAGAGCCUUGGGCUCCAUCUCCAUCAAGCCCAAGUCAUUAAAUUAAAAGGAGCCCAGGUUCAUAAGCUCAUUAAAUUAAAAGAAGCCCAGCCUGCCUCCAUCUCCAUCAUUCAUUAAAUUAAAAAAAGAGCCCAGGUCCAUAAGCCCAAAUGACCCAAGCCUGCCUUCGAUCUCCAGCAAAGCUGGUUUUCCACUUGGGUGUCAUCUUCAGCCAAGGAGCCUCCACCACCGGCGACGCAAUGGAGAGGGAUGCGACGGCGACGAUGGCGGAGUAGACAACAUUUUGGGUGAGGGCGCUAGUGGCAGUCAGGAUGAUGGUGCAAAUGGUGGACUCGGUGCUUGGAGAGAAAUAAUGGGAAAUAAAGGUGUAAAGAGAGAAAAUAAAUAUCAUGAAUAAUGGGCUUGGCAGGCAAGGUGGGAUAAUAGAUGUGGUGGUGUGAUCAGACAAAAUGGGUUAGAGUUUAGCGGGUAUGAAGACAAGGAUCAUGAAUGGUGGGAUGAGGAGCAAAAGCUAGUGAGAGAAUAUGGGUAUAGGAGGGGUGGACUGGUUUGCAUGCAUUUUUCCAGCAACCUUUGGGCUUGGCAGCUGCUUUAGGUUUAGGCUCGGAAGCUUUGGGCUUAAAAUUCUGGCACAAGCAUAACAAGCUCCAAACCAAAGAGUAAACUAACAAUAACUGAUUGGAAGGAUGAAACUAAAUUCACAAUCACACAACAUGCAUCAUUACAAAGCAGAAACUAGAGACUAAUAAAAAAAGUUGUAUCAAUAUUAACCUUUUAAUGGAAUAAUAAACAACUUACAAGAUGUUUGGGAAGCAAGAAUUAUUGGGUCCUCAUGUCCAGGAAACUGCUUUUUUUUUUUUUUUUGUUGACUGAAAGCAGCCCCCAUUUGUAGAAGAAGGAGAAGCGCAUGACCCCUCGGUGCCCUUUUUUCCUGCCUCAGACAACAACCCCUUUUUCAUCAAAAACCCCCCCUCCGCAAGUCAUGGACCUGCUCCUCUCUUCUCUGCCACCCUUGCUGCCACCAACAACCUCACCUCAAUUUCUUUCCCAUCUCACCCACUCUCAUAAAAAAAAUAAAAAUCCAUACUUUGCCUUGGGGUGCUCAACCAACCGGGGGGGGGGGGGGGGGGGGGNNNNNNNNNNNNNNNNNNNNNNNNNNNNNNNNNNNNNNNNNNNNNNNNNNNNNNNNNNNNNNNNNNNNNNNNNNNNNNNNNNNNNNNNNNNNNNNNNNNNAAAAACCUCACUUAAUUUUUUUCCCUUUUUCACCCCUUUUAAAAAAAAAAAAAAAAACCCCCCCUUUCCCUGGGGGGGCCCCCCCCCCCGGGGGGGGGGGGGGGGGGGGGGUGUAUACAAAUAUGCCCCUCUUCGGUAGAGUUCAUGAGUGUAAGGAAUAUGAGCACUAGAGUGAAAAGAAAGUGUGAAUAGUGAGUGGAAUGAAGUGAACUCUACUGAAGAACAAAGGAGACCCCCAAAAGGACACUAACGAGACAAAAACUCACUUAAACCAACAGAUGAGCAAAAUGGGUUUAACCCUAAGAGAAAAGCAGAUCUCUCAAAAUGCCUCUAAAGCCAAACAGAGGACUCAGGCUCCCUUUAAGACGUCUCCAAAAGUGACUCGAAAGACCAUAUCAAAGAUAAGUAACGGUCGAACCCCUCUGAAGUACAAAAAAGACUACGCCUAAAGGAGACUGCCUUAUGCGAACUUCAUGAGAAUGACUAGUGUAGGGUGUCCAACAACAUGACCGAAGUAAGUGUCGUGAACUCAAAGGUCACCGUGUCAUGAGCAAUGAAAAGGGGAAUUUGGAAGAGUGAUGACAAGUAGGCGAUAAGCACAGGGUAACAUGGUGAGGAAAAUGAGAAUAAAUGCAAACCCAUGAAGGCAAGAUGUGCAAUGCCAAUGAACAUGAAUGCCAGGGACUCUAACUCUGAAUGAUACGAAUGAGGAGAAAUGACUUUGAACGUCAAAACACGAGAAAGAUAAGGACUUAAGGUGCCCGAACGAAUAUGUACAAUGGCUCUGAACGCCAAACUAAAGAGAGAUGGUGGCAUUGAAUGCCUGAACGAGUGUGAAAGAUGGCUCUGAACGCCAAAACUAAGAAAUAUGGACUUUGAGCGUCGAACUGAAAGUGUGACUCGGAACGCCAAACUGAGAUCAUGGCUCCGAGCGCUGAACGGAAGAAAUAUAUGAUAGUUCGGAGUGCCAAACUAGAAACAAACAAAAGCUCUGAAUGCUAAACUAAAGAUGUACAAAGGCUCCGAGUGCCUAAAAUGUGGCUCUGAAUGUCGGACUGAAAAUGCUAAUGGCUCUGAAUGUUGGGACUGAAGACGAUGAUGGCUCUGAACGCCGAAACUGAAGAUGAUGAUCGCUCUGAACGUCGAACUGAGAACGAUGAUGGCUCUGAACACCAAAACUGAAAAUGGUGAUGGCUCUGAAUGCUGAAGUUGAGAAACGGUGAUGGCUCAACGCCAAGUCGUGAAUGCUGAUGACUUUAAAUGCCGAAGCUGAGAAACGGUGAUGACUCUGAGCGCCAAAACUGAGAAGAGAUAGUGGCUCUGAACGCCAAACUGUGAAUGCUGAUGGCUCUGAACACCGAUUUGAGAAGAAAUAAUGGCUCUGAAUGCCAAAUGGAAAAUGCUGAUGGCUCUAAACACCGAACUGAGAAGAAAUAAUGGCUCUGAACGCCAAAUGAAAAAUGUUGAUAGCUCUGAAUGCCGAGACUAAGAAGAAAUAGUGGCUCUGAACGCUGAUUACUACUCACUAAGUGCUAUUUCAUAGCUUGUAAUUAACUCUUUUAAACACUUUUGAGUAGUAGUUAUCACAUUUUAACCCAAUUAACAUAUUAAGGACCCUUGCAAUCAAUUCUAAUCAAAUUGUGUUAAGUUUUGGUGUUUUGAUAGCUUUUUGAUCACCAAAGCAAUCCGAGAUUGAGGAGAGUUCUUUGGAAUCCAUGGCAAAAGAUGUUCGGACAGGGCGUCCGGAAACACCAUUGGAAGGCAGCGGAACGUGGGCUGUGGCAGGCUGUCGGAAUGACGUAGCAAGGCUUGUGCACUAUAGCCAAUGAUCCGGACAACAUAUCCGAAUAGGAUAUGCUAUCGUCCGGGGUGUGAUGAUCGCGAGUGCCAUGUGCUUCUCCCUGAGGGAGUCCGGAUAGGGGAGCUCGCUGCAUGUCCUCUUGAAGAAUUCAGAUGGAGUUGCUCCGGAUAGCGAUGCGCGCUCCAUGUCAUCAGGGGGAGGGGUCCCUACACCUUGAACACGCAGACGACCCCCUUACGACGUGUGGCAUCGCACAUUCCACCCGGAUGUCUCACAUCCGGAAUUCUUCAGUGAAGGGGAGAAGGACCAUGGUUCAACAGUAAAUGCAAAUCCGGAAAAAGAGCUUAUUAAGGAAGAAUUGAUGAAGAAACGCACAUCUCCACCUUUUCCUCAAGCUUUGCAUGGGAAAAAGGGGAUUAGAAAUGCAUCUAAAUUUCUUGAAGUAUUGAGACAAGUGAAAGUUAAUAUCCCACUGCUGGAUAUGAUUAAACAAGUUCCAACGUAUGCAAAAUUCCUAAAGGACUUAUGUACUAUCAAAAGAGGCUUGAAUGUGAAUAAGAAAACCUUUUUGACUGAGCAAGUGAGUGCCAUCAUACAAUGCAAAUCUCCUUUGAAGUACAAAGAUCCGGGAUGUCCUACCAUUUCAGUUAUGAUUAGAGGAAAGGUAGUGGAAAAAGCUUUGUUAGAUUUGGGAGCAAGUAUGAAUUUGUUGCCAUACUCUGUUUAUAAGCAAUUGGGACUUGGUGAGUUGAAGCCAACAUCAAUCACCCUAUCUCUAGCAGAUAGAUCAGUAAAAAUUCCAAGGGGGGUAAUUGAGGAUGUCUUAGUUCAAGAUGAUAAUUUCUACUAUCCGAUAGAUUUUGUUCUUCUUGAUAUGGAUCCUACUGUAAAGGAAGCUAAUUCAGUUCCUAUCAUCCUUGGAAGGCCAUUCCUUGCUACCUCAAAUGCAAUCAUCAAUUGUAGGAAUGGACUCAUGCAACUCACUUUUGGCAACAUGACACUUGAGCUCAACAUUUUUUAUAUGUCUAAAAAGCAAAUCACUCCGGAAGAAGAAGAAGGUCCAGAAGAGGUAUGCAUUAUCGACACUCUAGUGGAGGAGCACUAUAAUCAGAAUAUGCAAACAAGCUCUGAAGAUGUUUCCUCAAAGAAUGAGUGGCUAGACUUUUUGUUCCUUGGAGUUAAGGUUGUCGGGAAAGGUUCCAAGUGCAAGAAUUAGUAGCUUUGUGGUUUCAGCCAUUAAUGAAGAGAAAGUCUGAUCCUUUAAUGAUUUCUAUGUUUUUAGUUAACUUAAAACACCUUCAAUUCACUUGAGCCAACACUUGGUAAGGCAAGUGAUCUCCGUCCAUGGAGAGGCACUAGUUUACCUCUUGCGAGCUUUUGGGAAGUGACUUGAAGGUAGGAUUUUCUAGAAUUGCCAACACUUGGUAAGCUUUUGGAUUCCAAUGAGACAUCCAUUAGUUAUCUCUUGCGAGCUUGAGAAGGGAAGUCCAAAGUUAAAGAUCACCUUGAAUGGCAAAUGCUAGGUGAGAGGCAUGAGCCAUUGCAAGUUGCAUCAGUGAGAGGGAAUUAGAGCUGAAAUCCAUUUAAAGGAUACAUCUGUACAACACCGAUUAGAGAAUUGACUAUAUGUUAAUUCUCUAAUGCGAGGAAAUGAACCAAAUGACCGGAGCUCUGUCUUUGCAUGAGGAACCUCCUCUGUGAACCUAAACCUCCAAGGAAUGUUUUUCUUCAUAAGUAACUUCCAUUACUUCCUUUGCCGUUAGUUUAAACCUAAACCUUUUUCAACCAAAAUUUGUGUUUUAUUUCUUAAGCUAACCUUGAAAUGAAAGGGCACCAAUUCACUUUGAAUUGGUAUCAUUUAUGAAUUGAAAACCCUUCCCAGUGAACGAUCUUAGAGCCACUAUGUUAUAGUAGCUUUGUCUUUGCUACCCUAGUUCAUGGUGUAAUAGGUUAUAAAAUUUGUUGAUUACUCCCUCAAUCAAGGAGCACCAACUGGACAUAAAUCAGCUGAUACACCAAUUGGGCACGAAUCAAACGCCAAAUGGAAAAUGCUAAUGGCUCUGAACGUCGAACCGAGAAGAGAUAGUGGCUCUGAAUACCAAAUGGGAAAUGUUGAUGGCUCUAAACGCCGAGACUGAGAAGAAAUAGUGGCUCUGAACGCCAAAUGGAAAAUGUUGAUGGCUCUGAACGCCGAGACUGAGAAGAAAUAGUGGAUCUGAAAGCCAAAAGGAACAUGUUGAUGGCCUUGAACGCCGAGACUGAGAAGAAAUAGUGGCUCUGAAUGCCAAGUGAAAAAUGUUGAUGGCUCUGAAUGCCAAGACUGAGAAGAAAUAGUGGCUCUGAACGCCAAAUGGAAAAUGAUGAUGGCUCUGAACGCCGAACUAAGAAGAAAUAGUGGCUCUGAACGCCAAAUGCGAAAUGCUGAUGGCUCUGAACGCCGAGACUGAGAAGAAAUAGUGGCUCUGAACGCCAAAUGGAACAUGCUGAUGGCCUUGAACGUCGAGACUAAGAAGAGAUAGUGGCUCUGAACGCCAAAUGGGAAAUGCUGAUGGCUCUAAACGCCAAUCUGAUAAGAAAUAAUGGCUCUAAACGCCAAAUGGAAAAUGCUGAUGGCUCUGAACGCCGAGACUAAAAAGAAAUAGUGGCUCUGAACGCCAAAUGGAACAUGCUGAUGGCCCUGAACGUCGAGACUGAGAAGAAAUAGUGGCUCUGAAUGCCAAGUGAAAAAUGUUGAUGGCUCUGAAUGCCAAGACUGAGAAGAAAUAGUGGCUCUGAACGCCAAAUGGAAAAUGUUGAUGGCUAUGAACGCCGAACUGAGAAGAAAUAGUGGCUCUGAAUGCCAAGUGAAAAAUGUUGGAGGGAAAUAUGCCCCAGUGUAGCGUGUCACCACAACUCUCGAUCCAUCGGAAGGGUCUAGAAGAGACUCUAUAAGUCUCGAAAGAUGCUCGGCUAGUGAAUCGGGACGAUCAAAUCGCAUGAUCCACUAGGGAAUCUCCAGAAAAGCGAUCUGAUAGGGUAACUCCCGUGAUCUUAAUACAACCAUCUACUGAAGAAUCAUGGAUAGCGAGGCAGUCACAACCCGAACGUCCUGCCCCACUGAAAGCUCACCUCGAUGAAAAUCAAAGGAGUAGUGACCAGAUGUGGAGCUUGAAAAGCCCAAAAUUUGAAGAAGGUUGAUUUGAACUAGAUCCAAAUGAACACCGUGUUGAAACAGGGAUGUGGACCUUAAUUCAAAUUCAACCAAGCUAAGCUUGAAAACUAACUUUUUGUAACCGGGGGCUUUCUUUUAUGCUUCUCCAAUGUUUUCAGUCAAGAUUGCUAAAUUGACUGAUUAAAAUGAUAUGGUUAUGAGGCCUGGACCUAGGGCCAGUAUGAAUCCGCAUGAACUUGAUAAUGAGGCCCUAGCACUUAAACCUGUCUUUUGGUUCCAUGCUUGCAAGGAUUCACCACAACCCUCAAAACAAGGAGGCAAAUCAAACAAGAUUGCAGAAAAUUCUACGGUUCUGGGCUUCGAAGGAAGUUUAUGAUCAUGAUACAAUUUAUGGGCUUUAGGGUGAGAUGAUUGGUGGACCCCCAAGCAAUUCUUUCUCAAGCCCUAUUAAGGAGUUAUCUGUUGUUCCUAUGGAUUCUCUCAGCUGUUCCAGGCGGUGCGAUCCUCCCCCCUAUAAAACCAACCUCACAUCUCUCUCAUUCACAUUUCAUUCACAACAUAUCGAAUAGUGGGUUGAGACCUGAUUAUCUGAUUGUUGGGUAUUUCAAAAGACACAUUUCCACAAAUUUUUUUAUCAUACACAUUAAAAAAAUUGAAUUUUUACUCAAGGUGUCUCUUGAAGAGACACUUUCCAUAAUUCUAUAAAAUUAAAUUCAUAUUAAAGGUGUUUCUUUGAAGAAACAACUUCAAAAAAAUAAAAUAAAAUCUAUCUAUUAAUUAGUUUUAUCCUGAAUACAACUAAAUAUUUAAAUUUUAUCACAUGUAUACAUCAUAAUCAAUAUUUUGACCUUUCAAUAUGUGGACUUGUAUUUUUCACGAUGCAUCCAACUCAACUGGCGAGACUUGUUUUCUUUUAAUGAAAAAUUGUAUUUUAUAAAAUAUUGGAGUUGCCACUUACUUCUAUUUAUUUUUAAAGGGGAAAUUAAGUAAAAACAAAACCCCUAAAAUGACUCAUGAUUUUUGGAAAAGCUAUAUGCGAAAAACUCGAGUUUAGGUCUGUGGAUCAGGUUACCUAACGAGAAGGUACCUCCAAAGAGGUAACAUCCCUCUAAGCCCUAACGAGGUCUCUACUACCUAAGUUGAGGGAAAUAUGACAAUUAGUCAAUUUAUUAUGGAUACCUAGAUAGGCUAAGGUGAUUUCGAAUGUUUGUUAAUUCUAACAUGCCAAACAAGGGUUCUAAACACAUUUAUAAAGAAAGGAUAGUAUGCAUACCUGAACUGCAACUUAAGCGCUAUCACAAAACAUCAAUGGUUAGUUAAAAAAAACUCAGAACCUAUAUUUUACCCUAGUCUCUUAAUCAUACAUGGCAAGUCAACAAGCAAUAAAAAAGAUAUGAAAUGAAGAUGUGAAGGUAAGAAGCAUACCUAAAUAACGUAGAUAACUUACAAUGCGCUUCCACAAUACAUGGGAGGUUGAAUCAAAGUUAUAAUAAUAGACAAUUAAAAAAAAGUAAUCCUAGUGUGCAUGGUGUUCGAAUAGCAUAACAGAAAUAACCAGAGUAUAAGGAAACACCAAUUAUCACACAAGUCAUGUAUACAACUCCAAAAAUCAAGGGUUAUGAUUAAAACAUGUAGCAAAAGGGGUAACGCACUAUUAUCAAAAGGAAAAUUAUAAAUUAAUAUUUAGGAACAUCAUUUGAUCAUGAAAAAUUAAGAAAACCUUUCUAUUAUGUCUAUAUCACAAUACAACAACCAACAACAAAUUAUGAGAUGUUAAAUGGUCUUGAAUUAAACAACAAUGCAAGCACGAUGCAAAACUUCUAGUCCAUAAUCAGAAUAAGGCAUCUUUAAGAAUAAAUCCUAAGAAAAUAAAAUAAAAUGGAAUUUGAUCAUACCAAAUCACAAAAGACUCUCGUCAAUGUCUAUAAAAACAUGCCAAAGUUCAAGCAUUCAAUUAAAUAACAUAUUCAAUUCAAAAUAUCCAAAAGUUCCAAAAGGUCUAGAAUUUGGCAGAAAAUAGUAACCAGUGUAAACUGAAUUUUAAAAAUACCUAAAAGCCUUUUAAAUUCAUAAAAAAAACUCACACAAGUCAUUUAAGAUGUCUAGAUAGUCCAAAAAUUUAAUCCAAGGUCAGAAAGCAUUCAUAAGAAUUUUUAGAAUACUAUAAUAUAUCAGUUGUCAAGAUUCAGUCAUGUAAAGUGUGACUUUGAAAAAUCAUAUCUCCGUCAAGAAGACAUUUUUUUUUAAUAAUUUAUGUGUUAAAAUUCAAUUUCAAGAAGUCAAUAAUCUGGGAAAAAUAUUAAUUUAAAUUGAAAAGAUCAAAAGGUAAUUUAAUUUUUCAAAACAAGAUUGAGUGUCAAAAACAAGGUGGAAAUUGAACCUUCUGAAAAAUUGAUUUAUUCUUAUAAUUAGAAAACCAUAUUUGAUCUAAGCAAGAUUAUAUAAUCAAGUUCAAAGAGUCUAGAAUGUCAUGGAAUAGUUAUAAAAAUUUUAAAGGGUAUUUAAGUUAUCAGAUUCCAAUUUAUGAAUACAGAAGUAAAGUGAACUAUCCACAAUUUCAAUGAAAAACUAUGUUUUGAAAAAAAAAAAAAUCUUUGUAUGUAGGGAUCUAUUAAAUCCCAUUUUAAUUUCCAUGAAUUUAUCCAUAAAGACUCCAUUUAUUGCACUAUGAAACUUAAUUCAUGUAUACUCAAAACCAAAAUUCAUUUUAAAACUUUUUUUCAAAUAUGCAUACCGAAUAAAAUUGGUUGCAUGAAUUUUGGAAAAUUGAAUUUUCAUAACCUAACAAUGUUUAAGAUGAAUUUGAAAAUUUGAGAAUUAACUUUUUUAGAAAGCUAGAUUGAAAAGCAUUUUGAAAACGCUAACAAAUACAAAUAAUCACAUAAAAUCACACAACCAAAAGAAGAAAAUUCCUAAGGAAACAAAGUGGUGUGUGCUGAAAGUGAGUGAAUCAUGCUGAGUUGUGUGUGAUGAGAGUGGAAGUGUGGUUGAUGUGUGUGUGUUCAUAGUGGCAACCUGGUGGUCUCCUUCUCUAUGCAGCUGUGUGUGCCUUCUUCAUCAGUUCGACUAGUGUGUGUUCUUCGAAAUUCAGUUGGUGGUGUUCUUUUUCACAAGCUUAUGCAAAUUCUCAAAAUUUAGCAAUCUAAUGCGUGCUUGUGCUAGCAACCUAGUGGUUUCAAAAUCUGAUGGUGUGAUAAUGUGUUUAUUGUUUUUCUCUUCACCACCAUGCACUAUCAACUCACCUCUCCACCAUUAACAGUCGUACACAAUCAGAUUGCCUCCCCAAAGUUCUAAAAAUUCCAAUAAUUCUUUUAUUCCCACCAAAAUUCAAAUCUGUCCAUUAACAGCCACUUCUCUAAUACCUUCUCAUCCUCUUCCCUUCAAGCCAAAACCAUGCACUAAAUCCGUGUGACUCUAGAACAUUUUGUCGCCUUCUUUUUUCCAUACAUCGUGCACAAAACAGCCUCCAUUUUAGAAAAAUCUAGUGCUCACACCAAUCCCUACCGUGUUCAUAAUCAGCUUAGGUGUUCCCCACGCUCUAAUGCUCUCCACUUUACAAAUUCUGAUUUUCAUAUUUCAUUCCUCCACUAAGCCGAAUCUGGUAUCAUCUCACCAAAUACCCAUACCUUUUCAUCCAAUCAUCAACUUCAUAUCGUUCUUUCAAACCAAUGCACUCAAUUUUAACCAUUUAAAAAAUGAAUUCACGCAUUCAUUCUUCCACCAGAAAAAAUCCCCUCCUUUCCAAUCCAUCAUUCCGAUGAUAUUUCUCAUACCCAUAUGCGUGUGUGCAUGGCUAUUUGUGGGUACAACCCAUGAAAAAAAAAUUGUGCAUGGAGCCCUUUUCUGUGCACAACUUUAAAAAAAUUCUGGGGGUCUCUCAAGAAAAUGGACUGUGCGUGUGUUGAAACAAUUUUCAAUGGAUGCAAUUGUAUUCCAGAUGACCUUCCAUACCACUCUCAUGCUGAAUGGGGCAUGUUGUGUCUUUCUUUUUUUCAAAACCUCGUCCUCUCCCUCAACAUUAACAAGAAACCAAACAAUAGGCAGAAAAGAACAAAAACACAUAAAUGAUGUAGGUUAAAGAAAAAAAAACAUAGAACCUAGCUCCAUUUCAUUGAUUCUCAAUGGGCUUUAAACGGGUGAAACCAUUAGGAAGCUGAAGAAGCUCUCAAGGAACAAUUUUAAAACAAUCCAUGCAUCAAAUAUUUAUAGGAGAGGUUAAUGAAAGAAAAGAAACACAGUAAAACCCAAAACAGAGCAUGUGCAUACAUAAUCAUAUUCCACAAGAUAAACUUCAAGUAAUGCCUAACAAAGCAAUGAACAUGUCAAUAGCAAUACGCAUGCAGACACACCAAAUAUUUGCAAAGCUCAAUAUGCAUCCUCUAUUACCCACAAACAAAUAGACAAAUAAUGUCUAAGUAACAAACAGAACAAUAGUAAUGAGGAAUAAUCAAUUAAAAAAAUGCAAAGAAACCAUACUUGAAGGUGCUCUUCUAAUCUUCCCUCGGAUUGGUCAGUUUUCCUUGUUCCCCUCUCCCCCUUUAGAGAAUCUUUUCUUGUCUCUUUUCUGUUUCUCUCCACUCUUCCUAAAAAGUCAGAACCUCCACUUUCCUCUUUUUCAUUCCUUCCUCUCAAGGCUUUUCCAUCUCAUUUUCCUUAUCAAAAUCCUUCUUCUUGAAGGUUUCUCUCUAUCCUGUCGAAAAUCACCUUUCUUCCUCAUGCAAAAACCCUUUGGAAAUCCCCUCUUUCCUUCUUCCCCAUCAUCUCUUGUUUCCAUUGUAAGUUUUCUUACCUUCAAAUUUUUAUUUUUUUAUAUUGUUUUUAAAUAAAUAAAUAAAUGAUAACAACAAUAAUAUCAAUAAUAAAAAUAGAUAAGUAACACAUAUUAAAAUGUGAUAAUAAUAAUAAUAACUGUAAUAAUAAUAGUAAUAAUAAUAGAAACAAUAAUAACAAAAAACAAUUCUUAUGAUGAUGAUAACAAAAUAAACAAUGACUAAAAAAAUGAAUAAAUAAUUAAAUAUAAGUAUGUGACACACAUUUACAAAGAAGAUCAUGCAAGCCAUGCAAGCUACGUCAACCAUGCAAAUAACUUAUAGGUGUUGGAGUAAGCCUAAGUGGACUAGGUGCACCUAGAUGGACCGGGUAUGCCUAAUGGGUUUGGGUAAACCUAAUGGGCCUAAAUAUGUCUAACCAAGCUAUUAUAAAAGUGUACCUAGUAUCCAAAGUGGCUCAAAGAGGUAAGUUAUAUGAGUAUCGAUGGGCCACCAGGAACUACUUUGGAGUGUUGAAAGAACAUUUAAUCAGGGCAUGUGACAAGGGGACAAAAUGGAGGGUUUACACAAUCCAAUAUCAAUCAAAAUGAGUAAACCAAAUGUCAAUUAAGUCGACACUUUCUAAAAUAGUAGCAAUAUUAUUUUGUCUAAAAUAAUUCCAAAAUAGGUACAAUACUAAAGAACUUAUGUUGUUAAUCAACAAUUACUAAAUCUAAAAUAGAGUAAGUAAUAAAUAUACAUUAUUACUAUUUGUCCAAAAUAAUAACAUGCAAAGUAUUAACAAUAUCCAAAAUAGAAAUCAUAUAUAGUAACAUCCUUAAUAUGUACAACACGAAUGAGCUUUCCUUUUUCGUUGUGGACGUCAAUGAUAUGCAUGUUUCACUAUUGGUUGUAGGGGGUUGACAUGUGCUCUCCCAUUUCCUUGAUGACCACAUUCCUCACCAUGUCCUCGACCACGAUAAUCCUCUUGUCCUUGUUGAUCAUCAUUUGUUGUAUGAACUAGCUCCUCAUCAACCAAUGUAGUCUUUAAUGGUUAUGGUCAUAAUGCAACAAGUGGUACUACAAGUGAGGUGGAUGACACCUCCACAGGUGUAAUAGGAGUCUCCUCCAUAGGUGGUGGGCCAAUGACAAUCAAUGGUGCAUCUACAAGAAUAGGUAUAUGCCUAGUCUCCCUCCCAUGAGCCCAUUUUCCUUUAGUUCGUACACCUCUUGAUCGAUGCUAGAGAUGUGUAGUAACAACAACAUUAAAUCAAGUCUAAUAUUACAAAGGUGGAAGAGUGGAUGAUAUCAACUACUAAUGAGGUGGUAGACUGAUGUUAGUUUAUGGUGCACAUAUAACAACUAGUGUAUGCUUAGUCUCCCUUUUAAUAGGCCAUUGUCCUAGUUUGUAUGCCUCCUAAUCGAGGCUAGAGUUGUGUAGAAGCAUCAACACUAAAUAGAGCAUCUAAGUGAUCCAUCUCAUGUAUGCCCUCUAAUACAAUAGUACACAAUCUAUGAAUAUGCAUAUCAUUUGGAGGUGCAAUAUCAUAUAUAUGAUGUAUGAUGGAAUUUGUAAGUCAAAUAUGAGAUAAGUUAAAUUCUUAUAAAAAUAAAAUAAAUUUCAAUAAAAAGUGAAGACAUGCAAAUUACCAAUAGCUCAUGGAAGGACCUAGUCUGAGUAAGAAAUAAAAGAGUAACAGAGAGGUACCACACCAUCUAUGGAUCAUAAUAUCCCAAUGGACCUAUAGCCAUCUCGUCCCUAGCAAUAUGUUUGCUCCUAGAGCUCCAACAUAGAAUAUUGUCUCGAUGUUGAACAGUCCAAUCAACAUCAAGUCUACCUCUAAAAUCACAUUUAUGUAAGAUUGACUCAUUAUCACAUGGCUGAGAAAUCCCUUGACAAAAUCCAAACUGUCGUAAUACUCAGUCAAGUCUAUGUCAUUCAACUAUAUGUGGAAACAUAUUAAAGGUGAGAUAAUGCACCAUAUAUCUUUCUCAACUGUACAAUAAUCAAGAACUUCAACAUUCAUGUCAUCAACAUAAGGUUUUCAUUUAAUUUAUAGUAAAGAAAGGUUAGAUAUAAUCAAUGGUUUGAAAUUUCUUUAGAGAAAAAAAUUUAAGAAAUGAAUCAAACUUUUAUCACCUGAUCUACGGUAAGUCGAUCAAGCUAGUGCCUAUACCGAACUAAGACAUGCAUGGAUGUCGAAGUAGUACAAAACUCAUAUCUCCAACUAUAAAAAUAAAAAACAAAGAUUAAAUAAAAAAAUAAAUGUUAGAAUUUAAGUUUAUAUAUCCUCAUAAUAGUAAAUUGAUGGUAAUGAUGCAUAUGUACUGUAUGGUUAAUGGAGAUAGAGGCAGUUGGUCAUCAUAUGAAGUUAUAUGUAAACAAUGAGAUGCAUUAAAAAGGAACCUAUCCCAUACCCACAACUGGAGUAAAAAAAGUAGACUAGAUAUAUCAUGUAUAUCACUUUAAGAUACUCGACACAAUUGUUGAUAAAGUCAAGCUAAAUAGGCGUUACCCUAACUAUAGCUAUCAACAACCUCAAAAUCCUCUGGAACAGGUUGAAACAUAAGAUACACCUUAUCUCUAGACUUUUCUGAAAAAGAAAACCUCUAAUGAGUUGUAAGAUAUAUGCCUUGGUAUAAUGCCAAAUAGACUACUCAUCAAUAUCUAGUGUCAAAAUAGGGAAGCUUUGACUUAACCAUGUAACAUGAAUAUGAUCGAUUGAUUUUGUCGAUUUAUCAUAUCAAAACACAAUUUUUAACCUGAUUCACUAUUCUAGAGUAGCUUGUACCCAAUCAAAAAUAGUUUUAGUACAAACUAUCGUAGUAUAGUGGUUUUUAGGUGUCAUUCACUAGGAUGGAUUAUUCUCGGUAAUUAAGGAUUGAAUGAGAGGAUAAGAAAUGAUUGUGAUCAAGUGAAAUUUAUUUGAAAAUUCAUGGUCAAAAAUAAGUUUAACAAUGGUCUCAAAUUAAGAAGAACAAUGAAAUGUAAAAUAUAAGAAAAUUAAUAGGAACUGAAAUUCUCAGAGUUAAAAUUUUCUAGAAAACAAAUUCCACGAUGAAUAGAUGUUGAGAUCUAAUUUUUAUCAAGUUUUAUUGAAAACCUAAAUUUUCAUCUAAACCAAUCUUUGAUUUAACUUUAGGUUCACAUCUAAUUUCUCUUCAAAUUAGGUCAUUUAAUCCAAGAGAUCAAUUCAAAUCAUAUAUUCAAUUCAUCUUAAAUUAUCUUCCAAUGAUUCACACAAUGCAACUAUUCAAUCUCAUCAAAUCUAGCUUUAAGAAUUUAAUGAGUCUACCUAGUUUGCAUUGUAGUAGUCAUCCAAGACAAUUUGAAGAGAAAAAUCCCCAAAAUUUAAUUAAUCAAUCAAUUGGAUCAAAUUACCUUUGUAAUUCAAGCUCAUUUCUCUAAUUCACCAUGAAUCUUGCUUUUAGAUCAUCAUUUCUCUGAGAAAAACGAGAUUUAGCCACUCAUGCUUAGAGAUUUGGUCUCAUAAGGCAUGUUUAGCUAGUGAGAAAAUGAGAGAAAAUAAAGGAAAAUAGACAAUUCUAUUGAGAGAGAAAAUCUGGAAAAUUCUACAAUUAGAAGUGUCCAAAAAGCUUCUCACAUGAGAAAUUCAAGUUUCUAUUUAUAGGCCAAGGUCAAGUGGACACUUGGCAACCUCUCAUUGGUCUUCUAGAACCUUCUAAAUUUAAAGAAAUCUGGAAGUUUAACAUUUCACAUGAAAUCUGGAGAUUUCGCAUAAGAUAUUCACAUUUCGCACGAUCGUGCGAAAUUCUAAGGUGAGUGGUUAAAGCAUGUUCAAACACUUUCUAGACCAUUUCGCAUGAUCAUGCGAAAUCAACUUACACAUCUUCCUUAGCUUGCAACCAAUUUUCCUUCUCUAGUUCAUUUCCUACAAUCAUGUGAAAUUUUUGCAUGAUCAUGCAAAUCUGCAACAUUUGGUUUUUGAGCUUUCCUUUGUCAUUUAUUCCAUUUCCUUCUUUUGAUUCCACCUUAACUACUUCCAAUUAGCUCAAAUCUCGGUCCAAACCAAUUGCUUUACUUAUUUCAUUAUGCAUUUGGAUUACCAUUAACAUUAUUUGUUCUCUUCAAUUUGAGUCAUCUCUUGUCAUCAAUUUAUCAAAAUCAUUCCUUGAAAUGACUCCAAAACUUCAUAAAACUUGUUAGUAACUCUUUCAAGGGAAACAACAUGUUAAUUGAGUGUUUUAAGCAUAAUUACUACUCAAAAUUGUGAAACUCAUGAGAAUUAUUAUCUAAAAUAUUCUCUUUUUUAUGAUGAUGACAAUGUCCAAAGAAAACAUGAUUUCAAUGAUUCACAUAGAGUUUUUAAAAUUUCACACAAGUGUGCAAACUAGACAAGAAGGUGAAGUGUGUUGCAACUACUCUCUUCUUUUAAAAUAAUUUGGCACAAUCAUGCAAAAAUUCGCAUGUACAUGCGAAUAAGUCAAGAGAGCUCUAUCUUAUUGUAGCCUUCAACAUAAUUUUUGCAUGGUCAUGCGAAUUGGUCCAGAGGCUUAAAACUGCUGCAGUCAUCCACAUUAGUUUCGCACAGUCAUACAAAAAUUUCACUUGAUCAUGCGAAAUGAGACAAAAACCCAUUUUUUAGCAUUUUCAAAACUAUGAAAACUCCCAUGUUUUUGGCAUGAAUUCCCUUGUUUUUUGCAUGAAUGUGUAAACCGGUGAUGGGCCAUUAAAACUCCUUUUUCCUUACUUCAUGCAUUCCAUCCAUCUGAAAAGUCCUUCAAAACACAAAUAAAAAAUUUGAAAUGGAUUUAUUUAAUGGAAACUAAAAAAAAAUCAAUCAAUCAAAAUUCAAAGGAAAGUGGAGAAAUGCCAAACCAUUGGGCUAGCUAGCCAUUGACAUGACUAAGCCCAUUAACCUUUACACCAAUACUCGAUUUGGAUAUGGCUUGCAAACAAUGAAUUGACUAACUCCUUGGUACUUAAGCUUUCCCGAAAAAAGAUGUGGCUUGAAAUAACCUUCUUUGAACUUGUUCUUUUAAAUAAGUUGGUCAUGCCAUUCCUUGAACUUCUUUUUCAUGGUCUUUGAAUUAUUGUGCAUACCAUACUUCAUGGUUUUCACUUUCUUCAAGAUGAAAGACCAUUUCAUUAACUUCAAAGGUUGAAUUUCUUCAUUGAUCUUCCAAACUUCAAUCCGUUCAUUGGAAAUUGUUUCACCAAGUUUUGAAAAAUUAUCUUCAACCUUUUCCUUGGCAUAGGCUGUAACUUGUCUAAUCAUGUCAAGGAGUGCUAUAUUGACUUUUGCUUGCUUUAAAACUUCAAAAAAAUUUAGAGCAUUAUUUACGACUUUCUUAGAUUGAAGAGCCAUGGGAAAAGGUGGAGCUAAGAGCAUAUCCUUGUUCAUUUUAGCUUCACUCUUCUUCUCUUUCAAAACUUUCAGCUUUUGUUCUUUUACUCUUCUCAUCAUCUUCAUUCUUCUCUUUCUUCUCUUUUGGUUUUGGCAUAGGUUGAUCAACUUGCUUACCACCUCUUAAGGUAAUGGUUGCUUUGAUUUCAUACUCUUUAGUAGAACUUUCACUUGUCUCUCCAAUUUCAUGGACUCCACUUGGAUUUUGUUAGGGUUGUGAAGAAAAUUUUCCUUUUUCUUGCACCGUAUGCAUGCUUGUGAGUUUAGAAAUAGCAAAUUACAUAUUAUCAAUCUUUUGUGUGAGAUUGGUUUACAAGCUAUCAAAUUUAUGAUUGAAAGAUGUCUUGACAUGAUCUAUCCUUUGAUUUACUUGAGUAUUGAUAUUCUUUUUAUCACUAAUAAAAUCUCCCAAAAUUUUACUCAAGUUUACAAUAGCUUGCUUAACCAAAUAAACUUGUUGUGGAGAGUCUUCCAUGAAUUAUUAGCUUUGUGAGUAUUGGCUUGAAGAAAAUUGCUCUUGUCCACAAUUCCAUGACAUGUUCAGAUGAUUCUCAACGAGUCUUUCCCCCAUAGCUGGUAUUAUAGGACAAUCACUCAAUUCAUGUUCUAUAGAUUGACAACCAGAACAUUGCUCCAUGUAAAUUGGAUUGUCAUAUAUUGCAUUCACCUCAUGAAAUCCCUUACCUUCAAGUUCCUCUAGCCUUCUUGUCAAAGCUAUCAUUUUAGCUUGUAGAUCGACAUUUUCAUUCAACAUAUACAUUCCUCCAUUUCAAUUGCUUUGAGACUUGGACUUGUGUAAAUCCCUUUCAUGUGGCUCAUCCCAUGACCCUGAUAUUUCAACCACAUAAUUCAAAAUUUUAAAGGCUUCAUUAGGACUUUUGCUCAUAAAGUCACCUCCACACAUGGUUUCUAGCAAUUGCUUCAUAGUUGGCAGCAUGCCCUCAUAGAAGUAACUCACCAAUAUCCAUGUGUUAAAACCAUGAUAAGGACAAGCAUUGACUACUUCCAUAAAUAUUUCCCAACAAGCAUAAAAAAUUUUAUUGUUCAAUGCCACAAAGUUGAUAAUUUGCCUUUCCAAGCCACUAGUGCGAUGUGUGGGAAAAAAUUUCUUCAAGAAGGUUGUUUGUAGUUCCAAACAUGACCUUAUGCUUUGGGGCCUAAAUGAGUUGAACCACAACUUAGCCUUAUCCUUCAAUGUGAAUGGAAAAAUCUUCAAUCUCAUAAGCUCUAUGGAUGCAGUCCCUUCUUGAAAAGUAUGACAUACUUCUUCAAAAUCCUUUAUAUGAGUUUAAGGAUUCUCAUUCCCCAUUCCAUGAAAUUGAGGGAGAAGUAGUACCAAGUGAGUUUUUAUCACAAUAGGCUCAUUAGGAAGAAUUAUACAAGAUCCCACGCCUAUCCUUUGAGGAUGCAUAUAUUCUCUCAUUGAUCUAGACAUCUGAGAAUUAUCAUUGUUUGGUCUAUGAUGACUUUGUUGGUCUUUCCCUUGAUUUUCCAUUUCUUCAACAAUUGGAUCACAAACCAAAGAUGGUUAGCAAUGCAAGUCCUUUUCAAUCUCUCCCUCAAAUUUUAUUCUUAAUGUAGCAUGCAAUGGAGAGCCUACAAAACAAGCCAAAAAAAACCAAAACAAACCAAGAAGAACAAAAAGAGAAAUAAAAGAUAAAAAUUGAAUAAAAAAUAAUAAGAAAAAUGAAGAAUUGGUAAAGAGAACUUCACCAAUCUUGUGAUGUGGAUCACAAGGGUUAAUCCUCACAAAAAAAAAAAAAUGCCUCAAUCACCUUGGCACCAUCCCAAGCAACGACAUCAUUUUUUAUCAAUUGAUUUUUUCGAUUUAUUGCAUCAAAACACAAUUUAUAACCUAAUUCCCUAUUCUAGAGUAGCUUGUACCUAAACAAAAAUGGUUUUAGUACAAACUACCAUAGUAUAGUGGUUUUUAGGUGUCAUCCACUAGGAUGGAUUAUUCUUAGUAAUUAAGGAUUGAAUGAGAGGAUAAGAAAUGAUUGCGAUCAAGUGAAAUUUAUUUGAAAAUAUAUGGUGAAAAAUAAAUUUAACAAUGGUAUCAAAUUAAGAAGAAUAGUAAAAUGUAAAAUAGAAGAAAAUUAAUAGGAAAUGAAAUUCUUAGAGUUAGAAUAUUCUAGAAAACAAAUUCCAUGGUGAAUAGAUGUUGAGAUCUAAUUUUCAUCAAUUUAGAUUGAAAACCUAAAUUUUCAUCUAAACCAAUUUUUUAUUUAGUUUUAGGUCUAGAUCUAAUUUAUCUUCAAAUUAGGUCAUUUAAUCCAAAAGAUCAAUUCAAAUCAUAUAUUCAAUUUAUCUUAAAUUAUCUUCCAAUGAUUCACACAAUGCAACUAUUCAAUCUCAUUAAAUCUAGCUUUAAGAAUUUAAUGAAUCUACCUAGUUUGCAUUGUAGUAGUCCUCCGAGACAAUUUGAAGAGAAAAAAUCCCCAAAAUUCAAUUAUUCAAUCAAUUGGAUCAAAUUACCUUUGUAAUUUAAGCUCAUUUCUUUAAUUCACCAUGGAUCUUGCUUCUAGAUCCUCCUUUCUUCGAGAAAAACGAGAUUUAGCCACUCAUGCUUGGAGAUUUGGUCUCACAAGGCAUGUUUGGCUAGUGAGAAAAUGAGAGAAAAUAAAGGAAAAUAUAGAAUUCUAUUGAGAGAGAAAAUUUGGAGAAUUCUACAAUUAAAAGUGUCCAAGAAGCUUCUCACAUGAGAAAUUCAAGUUUCUAUUUAUAGGCCAAGGUCAAGUGGACACUUAGCAACCUCUCAUUGGUCUUCUAGAACCUUCCAAAUUUAAAGAAAUCUGGAAGUUUAACAUUUCGCAUGAUUAUGCGAAAUGAACUUACACAUCUUCCUUAGCUUCCAACCAAUUUUCCUCCUUUGGUUCUUUUCUCAUGAUCAUGCGAAUAUGUAACAUUUGGUUUUUAAGCUUCCUUUUGUCAUUUCUUCCAUUCCUUCUUUUGAUUCCACUACCUCCAAUUAGCUCAAAUCCCAGUCCAAACCAAUUGCAUUACUUCUUUCAUUAUGCAUUUGGAUCAUCAUCAACAUUAUUUGUUCUCUUCAAUUUGAUUCAUCUCUUUUGUCACUAAUUUAUCAAAAUCAUACCUUGAAAUGACUCCAAAAUUUCAUAAAACUUGUUGGUAACUCUUGCAAGGGAAACAACAUGUUAAUUGAGUGUUUUAGGCAUAAUUACUACUCAAAAGAUGUGAAACUCAUGAGAAUUAUUAUCUAAAAUAUGCUCUUUUUUAGUAGUAAUUAGAAGGCAUUGCCCAUCUAUGUAUGUGUCCUCAGUAAUAAGACUUAAUAAAGAUGACACAUGUCUAUUAUUUGGACAUGUGCUACCAAUAAAUUCUACUCCAUCUACUGGUAGUUCAAGAAGAAUGGUAAUAUCUUGUAGUGUAAUUGUGCACUCCCCCUGAGGUAAGUGGAAAUUAUGAGUCUCUAGUUGCCAUAUUUCAAUAAAUACAGUAAUAAGGUGUCAAUCUAAGGAAAUGAAUCCUAAGCGUACAACACCAUAGAAGCCUGCUUGCUAUAGUAAUGGAAUAAUACGUCCAUAUGGUGCACUGGUGUGAUGGAAAAUUGCCUUACAAUGUCGACAAUAGAGUUCCUUUAAGUCAACACUUUUCCAUGCUAGAGAAGACUAGUGUGUGUCCUGUCCAUGUAGAAUUGUAAGAUCCAAUGGUCCUAAAUCCAUUAUGCGAUAAUGUUGGGAACUCUGGAUUGCUCCGUUCCCAUGCCCUGAAUCGCAUAGGGUGCAUGCAAACCUAUCCAAGGCUCUCUAAAUCUAUCGCAAUGGAUAAACAUGUAUUAAAAAUGAUAAGAAUACAAUAGAAAACAUAGAUCUAAAGAGUAAAGUCACAUACCUUUGAUUUGAAUGUUCUCAUAUAGAUUCCAAUUGAUGUAGAUAACUCCAAAGUCGUAGUAGAUCUCGUAAACACCAUGAUCUUCCACCCGAUGACUCUUCCUUGUGUCUAAGCACUGAGAUGGUGGAGAUCUCAAGGGUAGAGGCUAGGGUUCUCUCUCUAGACUAAAGGGGAGAAUGGUAAGAGAUUCAAACCCUAACCUUUAAAGGGGUAUUUAUAAGCUUCUUAUUAGGCUUAAGUUACUUAAAACCACCAUGGGCUUGGGUCACUUAAUCUAGCCCAAAAAGGUUGUUAAUUGAUUGAUUAACCAUAUAGGGCCCUAAUUAAUCAAUUAGCCUAGUCCAAAUAUGCCACUCACUUAUCCUUGUGCAACCUUGUGUAAUUACCAAAAUGCCUUUGUACACAAAAGUGAACUAAAAACCCAUCCAACCCUCAUAAACCGUGCUAUCAAGGAAUAUGAGCUCAGAGCGGGGACCACUAUGACCCAUAGGAGUACUGGCUCCCUCAUAAUCAAAUUCUAAAAUUGACUCAACAUCCCACUACAGAGAGUUAACUACACUCUAGUACCUUAUGUAAAUUACAACGAUACACUAAGUGCUCAGGUUAGUGACCUACUAUCCACUAUAUGCAAACUCCCCAUAAACUGGUGUCCAUAAUCUAUUGAAGUAGUGUUAUCACCUAUCAAGAUUACCUCUCAAAUCCUUGAGUUACAGAUCUCACUUAUUAUGUGAUCAACUUACUCUAGCUCUAAGGAGCAUAUGUCAAAUUCUACUAAAGGAAUUACUGUGGCCACAUAUUUCAUGAUCACAUGUUCUUUAGAUCACCAAGGGGACACACUGUCUCAAUCCCAUGAGAUAUCAUGGUGUUUCUAUUGAGAAUACCUAUUGCCACCAUCCUCCAUCAAUAGUGACCUAAUCCAUAGGGAUAUAUAACCACUUUAAGGUCUCACCCAUUGUAGACCCUCAAUUUUGUUCCUUUAGCACAUGCCUUUAAGUUCAUUUCCAGUGUUCCACAAUAGUUCCUUGGUGGCCCGUAGCUACUCACACUACUUACCUUUCUUGAGCCACCUCGGAGACUCUGGUUAAGGGAUUGCCUAACCCCUUAUUGUGACCCUUGGUAGUUUUUAUUAGACUUAAGCUUUUCAUUCCUUUUUAGGAUAGUGCUUAGGCAUGUUUAGGUCACUUAGAUCACUUUAGGACACUUAGUUCAUUAGGCACCCACUUAGGCCCGUUUAAACACUUCAUCGGGCUUAACUUUUAUAUAUAUAUAUAUAUAUAUAUAUAUAUAUAUAUAUAUAACUUUUAUUAUUAUUAUUAUUAUUAUUAUUAUUAUUAUUGCAUGCAUUCGAUGAUUAUAUUUAUUUUGUUUAUUCAUUUUCAUUUUUACUCUUUAUUUGUUUAUUAUUAUUAUUAUUAUUACUAUUUUUAUUUUUAUUUUUAUUUUUAUUUUAUUUAUUCUUAUCUAAUAGGAAAUUGCUUGAAUUGUUUAGACUCUAAAAUGUGCAAAUAACCCUUUAUUGAAUGGUGGAAUUAUAUAACCUGGUUUCUCUUUCUUUUUUCUUUCUUUUCUUUUAAAAUCGUAUUCAUUUUACUACCAAUCUCAUAAUUUUUCAUCAGUUUCUUCUCUUUUCUUUUACCUUUUUUAAUUUUAUUUUAUUCUGUUUUGCAUGAGGAGAAAAAUUGCAUGGGAUUUCUUCGAGAAGAUUAUGAGCAAGGCAAAGAUGUACAUGCAGCAAGAAAGAUCUGAGAAAUCCAUCUACAGAAUAUUACCGUAAAUUAUUAGUUGGGCAUUUAUACCCAUCUCUAGUGUGCGUCCAAGCAUCACGUGACCACCACUUUUCGGUUCCAAAAGGCUUUAAAAGGUUGUAGACGCAUGCGUUUUAAGGGGGGGCCAUCAAGCAUUCACUCGACAAGCAAGAGAAACACAUAGGCUGCAUUGUUCUCCAACAAUAUACAACAACAUACAUUCUUGAAGAGAAGAAGGUAGAUAGAGGCAAGCAAUGGGGUUUAACAUGAGAAGCAGAAGAGGGUUUUUGAAACAAAUUGGAACUCUUUACGCAUCCUAUACAACUUAUCAAAUUCAAAAUAGGUUUCUUCAUUCGACUAUGGCCAAACCCCUUUCUCCUUCAUCUGCCCAUACUCCACUGAAUUGCAACCUCAACUUUCCACUGAUCUUAUUGGGAUUAUGGAACAAAGGCUGUCAGCGAUUGAACAUAGGAGUGCUUAUCUUCAAUAUUUUAUAAAGUGGACAGCCAGAAGCCUCACCAAUGGAGUAUGCUAGUGUUGGGACAUCAUUUGUUUUUAUCCGGGUAGGGCCGCUGAGUAUAUUUGGUUCUGUGCCAGUCAGGGGCACCACAGAGUGGCCUUCCUAGGAUUCGAACUUGGGUCCAGGCCUUAAGGCUUAGGACGUUGCCUUCCUGGUACCAUCUAGGCUACUAGCUCAGAUGGUACCAGGAGGGCAACUGUCUGGGUUAAGGUCCCGAGUUCGAAUCCUGGUGACGUCACCCACAAAGGCCAAAUAAACAAAUGGCCCCAUAAGACUCUGCGUUGUCCGGCCCAUUCCGGCUGUGACGCCCCUGACUGGCACAGUUCAGUGGUAGGCUGGGCACCAGAGCAAAAAAGGUCGACGUUUAUGUUGGGACAUCAUUUGUUUUUAUCUGGGCAGGGCCGCAGAGUAUAUUUGGCUCUGUGCCAGUCAGGGGCACCACAGAGUGGCCUUCCCAGGAUUCGAACUUGGGUCCAGUCUUAGGACGUUGCCCUCCUGGUGACGUCCCCAGNNNNNNNNNNNNNNNNNNNNNNNNNNNNNNNNNNNNNNNNNNNNNNNNNNNNNNNNNNNNNNNNNNNNNNNNNNNNNNNNNNNNNNNNNNNNNNNNNNNNGUCAGGGGCACCAGAGAGUGGCCUUACCAGGAUUGGAACUUGGGUCCAGUCUUAGGACGUUGCCCUCCAGGUGACGUCCCCAGGCUUCGAACUCAGGACCUUAACCCAGACAGUUGCCUUCCUAGUACCAUCUACGCUAGUAUCCCAUAUGGUACCAGGAGGGCAACGUCCUAAGCCUUAAGGCCUGGACCCAAGUUUGAAUCCUAGGAAGGCCACUCUAUGGUGCCCCUGACUGGCACAGAGCCAAAUAUACUCCGCGGCCCUGCCCGGAUAAAAACAAAUGACGUCCCAACAACUAGGACUAAUAAGGAGCUUCGGAAACUCAGAAGUUCAAUCAAACAUAUUGAUUCGACUCAUGGUAGCUUAGCUUUAAAGGCGUAUCAACAAAAUUUAUACCUUAAAUACUAUUACUAAAGUAGCCAAGCUACUAUAGCAUAGUGGUUCUAGGAUCGUUCACUGGGAAGGGUUUUCGCAAACAGUAGUGAUAUUCAAAUUAGGAAAAUAGGUGAUUUUCUUAUGCAUGUUAGCUUUAAAAGAAGAUGUAAAUAUUUCAGAAAGAUUUAANNNNNNNNNNNNNNNNNNNNNNNNNNNNNNNNNNNNNNNNNNNNNNNNNNNNNNNNNNNNNNNNNNNNNNNNNNNNNNNNNNNNNNNNNNNNNNNNNNNNAAGUGGUUUAUAUAUCCCUAUGGAUUAGGUCACUUUUGAUGGAGGAGGGUGGCAAUAGGUAUUCUCAAUAGAAACACCCUGAUAUCUCAUGGGAUUGAGACAGUGUGUCCCCUUGGUGAUCUAAAGAACAUGUGAUCAUGAAAUAUGUGGCCACAGUAAUUCCUUUAGUAGAAUCUGACAUAUGCUCGCCAGAGCUCGAGUAAGUUAAUCCUAGGAAGGCCACUCUAUGGUGCCCCUGACUGGCACAGAGCCAAAUAUACUCCGCGGCCCUGCCCGGAUAAAAACAAAUGACGUCCCAACAACUAGGACUAAUAAGGAGCUUCGGAAACUCAGAAGUUCAAUCAAACAUAUUGAUUCGACUCAUGGUAGCUUAGCUUUAAAGGCGUAUCAACAAAAUUUAUACCUUAAAUACUAUUACUAAAGUAGCCAAGCUACUAUAGCAUAGUGGUUCUAGGAUCGUUCACUGGGAAGGGUUUUCGCAAACAGUAGUGAUAUUCAAAUUAGGAAAAUAGGUGAUUUUCUUAUGCAUGUUAGCUUUAAAAGAAGAUGUAAAUAUUUCAGAAAGAUUUAAACUAAUCUAAGCUAACAUUAAAGACUAAAAUGAAAGGGUGUAAAAACAAGUUUCUCAAAUAUAGGAUAGCGAUGCUUUGGCUCUUAUGCAAAUUGGAAAUCUCAGGAUAGGCUCCUCGCGUUGGGGUUGCAACUAUGGUGAUGCUUGCUUCCCGAACCGGUAUGGAUUUAGCAAAUCAAGUUUUAAUCCUUUAAAAUGGCAAAACAGAUGGUAGUGAAUUUCAUCAAUGGUUAUUCACCUUAGACUUCCUUUGAAUGGCUCGUAAGAGAUAACUAAUGGUCUAAAGCCAAAAGCUUACCAAAUAUUGGCAACUCAAAGUCAUUCCAAGUGAUAAACUCACCUUUCAAUGGCCAUUGAAAUUGGUUCUAAUGGAUUAAUGCAAAACUUGGAAUUGAAAACCUCACCUUCCAAUAGCUCGUAGGAGAUAACUAAUGGAUAGAAAUCCAAAAGCUUAUCAAGUAUUGGUCGUUGGAAGUUGUCCAAAGGAAAUAAAAACCAAACUUUGCCUUAAUGAACCUUUAAUGAAAAACGUCUACCUUACCUUCCGGGUGAGAGAAAUUUCCAUGGGAUUGCAUCCAAGCCAUCACAUAACAUCCAUACUUUGAGAAACUAAAAGUUUUAGCCAAUCAUCCUCUAAGGAAAAGCCCUUAGAGGCUGUUUGGCUACUAAGAAAAUAGAAACGGGAGAACAAGAGAAGAGAGAAAAACAGAGCAAGGCUCCGUCUCUGUAUAUAUGCGUCUCUGUCUUCAAGAGGUGAUUUCCACCCCUAAUAUAGUCUUUACAAAAGCAAAAGCUUGUGAUUGGUUAGUUACAAGGAUAAGAAAGGAAAUUACAUCACAAAAUACAAAGGAAAAUAUCUAAAGUGGAGUCGGCAAAGGCAGAGCAAAAUUCGCAACACGCAUGGGUUAUGCGAAUGUUAUGCGAAUGUUAUGCGAAUUUCGCAUAACACCUUGUGGAAUGCGAAAUUUUCGCAUAACCUGGAGCAGUUGGCUUCUGAAGGCCAUAUCUUCCUCAUUUCAGCUCCAAAUCGUGUAUGGUUUGAAGCGUUGGAUUCUUGACUUCCAGAGCUUUGAAAUGGUAUAUAGUAUGCAAAAAAUGGACUUCAGGAAGUGCUCCAAAAGUGCGAAAGAAGACUGCAGCUGCUGUCCUCUUUGCUUCUCUUCACUUUGCUUGCUUUUCCUCUUUGCUUCUCUUUGCUUGUGCUCGUGUUUCCACUUGAAAUUCAAGCUUGUAAAUGUCCAAAAUCCUUGCUUUAACUUGUCCAAGUAGCUCCUCCAUCAUUUGGCAUGCUUGAAUCGAUUCAUAAGCUGAUAAAAACAUGUAAACUUGCCACAAAAUGGUUAAAACCAAUUACUAAGGACCUUAAUGAAUUAAUUAGGUUAAAUGAAUAUGAUUACUACUCAAAGGUGCUUAAAACCAUUAUAAUUAGGUCUACAAAAUAGCACUUUUUGGUAGUAAUCACACCCCCCAACCGACUCAUUGCUAGUCCCUUAGCAAUGGAGGAGAUAAAAACUAAGUAAACUAUAAUAAUAUACAUAAAAGGGAUCAUGCAAAUCACUCCAAAAAAAUGAUAUGAGUGGCAUGAUGGACAUCCAUGGAUCAAUAAAGAUGUGAAACUCAACCUAUAAUAAGAGUUGUCAAAGCAUUCACUUGAUCAUAGAGUACAAAGAAUGGAUAUUAUGCAAGUUUAAGCAUCAAAAGAAUUUCCACUCUCAAAAGAUCCAAAUCAAAUUCUUCCACUAAAAGCUAAGUGUUAAUGUGAUUAGCUUCCGAGUAUAGUAUGGAUAACUAUCAUCUCCCCCCAACCUAAGUCUUUCUUUAAGCUUAGCAAAAUUAACCAUCUCUUGAUAGGCUAGGAACGCACCUCUUAUUCACAAUUCUUUUCACUUACUAAACUUAACCAAUUCACCCAUGUAACAAGCAGAGGAUCGGUGACUCCCAACCAAUAAAGGCUUAGGGCACCAGGCUUUAAAGGCUUUCGCCACCCCUUCGGACCAUGCUCAGGUUUAAAGGUAAGCAAAGAAGUUUAUUCUAUUUUUUUUUUCUUUUUCUUUUUCUUUUUCUUUUUUUUUUCAAAGACUCAUUGGUCUUUAUGAGGUGUCCCAACACUAUUAAAGAGAGGUUAAAGGUGUCAAAUUAUGAUUUCUCAAGCUUAGAGGGUGAUAUAGUUUCACAUCUUAUAACCGGAAUCUAAUGUAUGUUUGUGCGAAUAGCUUAAGGUGGAAGAGAUAAGUUUGCAUGCAAUGAGAGUUUCAACAAUUCAUCAACUUUUAGAAGAGCAUAAUACAAACUCUAAGACUCAUGUAAUCAAGUUGAAACUCGACUUCUCUCAUUUAAUUUUGAGAGUUAAUCCUUAAUAUCCAUGGAGUUUAAGCAAAAAUUUUAAAAUUUAAACAAAAGGUAGCUAAUUUAACUAAGUAUGAUAAAAAUUUAAACUAAUACUUACUUCCUCAUCUCUCCCCCCAACCGAGAUGAACAUUGUCCUCAAUGUUUGAAUCGAAAAUAAGGAGGAAGGAAGUGGUACCUCAUGUGAUGUGGACUUGGAGUUGAGAAGGUUGAACCACCUAUUUCAAAAUUCAAAAAUUGAAUGAGAGAGGAAUUUAUACUAAAUAUUUACAAAAAUGAUGAGUGGGCCCCACUUUGAGCAGCUGAGGACAAGGCUCAAAGGCUCCAUGCCAUGAUGGUAUACUGAUAUAAGUUGCAAUGACAUUUGAAUGUAGCUUGCAGGGGUGUUAAAAUUGGAGAUUUUUGGCUAAAACAGGGGAAAGUUAAAAAUUCGCACAAGGGGGGUGUUAUGCGAAAAUUUCGCACUAGGGGGGGUGUUAUGCGAAUUUCGCAUAACACCUUGUGGAAUGCGAAAUUUUCGCAUAAGCACUAUUCACCCGCCCAAAUGCAAAAUUGGAUUCUUUCAAAUGGUGAUAACUUCUUCGUUUCAAAUCCAAAUCGCACACCGUUUGAAGCACUGGACUUCUAACUUCCUAAGCUUCAAAAAGAGAUAUGGUAAGCAUAAUUUGAGCUCCAGAAAGUGCUCCAAAAACGUGUCCAACAGUAGCAAAAUGGGGUGCGGCUGCAACAUUCCCGUUUAGCUUUGCACAGUCAUCUUCAAACGGCCAUAACUUCUUCGUUUCAGCUCCAAAUCAAGCACCGUUUGAACCUAUGAACUCCUGACUUCCCAAGAUUUGAAACGAGAUAUCGUACACAUAAUUUGAGUUUCAGGAAGUGAUCUAAAUGUGCCCAACAGUUGCCGAAAUGGGGUGGUGCGAAUUGCUCUGUUUUGGCUUUUCUCCCCUGUUUUCCCUUGUUUUCACCAUAACUUCGAUUUUUGCAAGCAUCAUACCUGCAUGAACACUUCAAAACUCAUCUUAAAAACAUAUUAAAACUAAAUUAAAGCUAAAAAUUCAAAUUAAAACAUGCAUGAAUUUAAAGAAAGCAUAGAAUUUAAAUGAAGCUGAUAGCAUGUAUCCCAAAAAGAAGAUGAACUAUUUAGCUCAUCCUCACUCACACACCCACUUCAUGCUGAACUCCCCCUGGAUCCCAAACAAAAUUGGCAUCCUUCACAUUUGGCCCAAGGGAAUUCGUUUCUCUUCUCUUCCCUGGAGAAGUGGAUGCUUUAAAGGGUUCAAGUAACCCUUUAUCAUCUUGAACCUUAUGAUUUUCAAUGGAAGGUUGGUCCAUAAAGUUGUCAUAGCAAUCCCCCACCAAAGUGUCAAUCAUCAACACUUUCCUUGAUCUUUUUGCAUUGGUUCCUUGAAGGUUAUGGUGGGGUUGAGGAGGAAGCUUCCUUUUCCCCCUUGCUAUGUCGAGAUUGGUGAGCUUCUCAAUGGAGUCUUGAACUUUUUCUAUCCUUAGUGAUAGAUCAUUAUAAACUCCCUCCAUUCUUACAUUCAUUGAACUCUCCAUAUUAUCAAUCUUUUCAUUAAGAUGAGAGUUGAUCUUUUGUUGCCCACCUACAAAGUCCUCCAUGACUUUGCUUAUCUUCAAAAUGGCUUGCUCCAAUGAAGAUGUACUCAUUGAUGGUUGAGGUUGAGGUUGGGUUGUAAGGUUGGGAUGUUUUAUAUACUCAAAUGAAGUUGGCAUGGCUUGUGGUUGUGCUUCAGUAUGCACAUUCCUCAAUUCAAACUCUUCUAUCCUUCUAGCCAUAGAUGCUAGCUUUGCCUUCAUGCUCAUGUCUUCAUUCAAAGCAUACUUACUACCCCAUUGGCUUUGUUGAACUUGCCUUUUCCCUAACUCAAUCCGAUCCCUCAUGGAUAGGUAUGCAAAUUUGUCCUUCUCAUGAUCAUAAUGAGAGCUUUGAUCUUCAUGUGGAAUUUCCAUUUCUAAAAAAAAAUGAUAUUCAACUAAGGCUCUUUUCUUCAACUUGUACCAGGGUUCCCUCUUGGUCUCGAAUCCAACAAGGAAUGCACAAAUUGAAAUUAAAACAAAAAUAAAAGAAAAGAAAAUAAAAAAUUUAACUAAAUAAAAAUUAAACUAAAAAAAAUUAUAAGAAAACUCACCAAACUUGUGAUGAAGAUCACAAGUUACCCUUAAUGGUUGCUUCACUGUGCUUGUGGCACCUUCCCCGGCAACGGCGCCAUUUGAUUCGACUCAUGGUAGCUUAGCUUUAAAGGCGUAUCAACAAAAUUUAUACCUUAAAUACUAUUACUAAAGUAGCCAAGCUACUAUAGCAUAGUGGUUCUAGGAUCGUUCACUGGGAAGGGUUUUCGCAAACAGUAGUGAUAUUCAAAUUAGGAAAAUAGGUGAUUUUCUUAUGCAUGUUAGCUUUAAAAGAAGAUGUAAAUAUUUCAGAAAGAUUUAAACUAAUCUAAGCUAACAUUAAAGACUAAAAUGAAAGGGUGUAAAAACAAGUUUCUCAAAUAUAGGAUAGCGAUGCUUUGGCUCUUAUGCAAAUUGGAAAUCUCAGGAUAGGCUCCUCGCGUUGGGGUUGCAACUAUGGUGAUGCUUGCUUCCCGAACCGGUAUGGAUUUAGCAAAUCAAGUUUUAAUCCUUUAAAAUGGCAAAACAGAUGGUAGUGAAUUUCAUCAAUGGUUAUUCACCUUAGACUUCCUUUGAAUGGCUCGUAAGAGAUAACUAAUGGUCUAAAGCCAAAAGCUUACCAAAUAUUGGCAACUCAAAGUCAUUCCAAGUGAUAAACUCACCUUUCAAUGGCCAUUGAAAUUGGUUCUAAUGGAUUAAUGCAAAACUUGGAAUUGAAAACCUCACCUUCCAAUAGCUCGUAGGAGAUAACUAAUGGAUAGAAAUCCAAAAGCUUAUCAAGUAUUGGUCGUUGGAAGUUGUCCAAAGGAAAUAAAAACCAAACUUUGCCUUAAUGAACCUUUAAUGAAAAACGUCUACCUUACCUUCCGGGUGAGAGAAAUUUCCAUGGGAUUGCAUCCAAGCCAUCACAUAACAUCCAUACUUUGAGAAACUAAAAGUUUUAGCCAAUCAUCCUCUAAGGAAAAGCCCUUAGAGGCUGUUUGGCUACUAAGAAAAUAGAAACGGGAGAACAAGAGAAGAGAGAAAAACAGAGCAAGGCUCCGUCUCUGUAUAUAUGCGUCUCUGUCUUCAAGAGAUGAUUUCCACCCCUAAUAUAGUCUUUACAAAAGCAAAAGCUUGUGAUUGGUUAGUUACAAGGAUAAGAAAGGAAAUUACAUCACAAAAUACAAAGGAAAAUAUCUAAAGUGGAGUCGGCAAAGGCAGAGCAAAAUUCGCAACACGCAUGGGUUAUGCGAAUGUUAUGCGAAUGUUAUGCGAAUUUCGCAUAACACCUUGUGGAAUGCGAAAUUUUCGCAUAACCUAGAGCAGUUGGCUUCCGAAGGCCAUAUCUUCCUCAUUUCAGCUCCAAAUCGUGCAUGGUUUGAAGCGUUGGAUUCUUGACUUCCAGAGAUUUGAAAUGGUAUAUAGUAUGCAAAAAAUGGACUUCGGGAAGUGCUCCAAAAGUGCGAAAGAAGACUGCAGCUGCUGUCCUCUUUGCUUCUCUUCACUUUGCUUGCUUUUCCUCUUUGCUUCUCUUUGCUUGUGCUCGUGUUUCCACUUGAAAUUCAAGCUUGUAAAUGUCCAAAAUCCUUGCUUUAACUUGUCCAAGUAGCUCCUCCAUCAUUUGGCAUGCUUGAAUCGAUUCAUAAGCUGAUAAAAACAUGUAAACUUGCCACAAAAUGGUUAAAACCAAUUACUAAGAACCUUAAUGAAUUAAUUGGGUUAAAUGAAUAUGAUUACUACUCAAAGGUGCUUAAAACCAUUAUAAUUAGGUCUACAAAAUAGCACUUUUUGGUAGUAAUCACAUAUAACUGAGUUGAGGAAUAAACAGAAGAAGAUUGAUGGUUUGAAGUCGCUCAUGGUCGAAUGUUUAGAAGAUAAAGAUAUGCUUAACAUGGCAGCUGAGGAAUUGGGUCAGGCCAUAGAGGAAGAGAAAAGGCUACAGAAUCUGCUACUAAAAUCAUUACUUCCCAAGGAUGAAGUUGAUGAAAGGGACUAGCAAUGGUGGUGAAAACCAGCUCGUGUCGACGUCGCUAUACGUCGGUGGCCUAGAAUCAAACGUCACCGACUCGCAUCUCUUUGAUUUGUUUGGUCAACUGGGUCCGGUGGUUUCCGUUCAGAUUUGCUGCGACUUGAGCACUCGAAGAUCACUCAAUUAUGGUUGUGUUAAUCAUGGCAAUCCCCAAGACACCGUAAGGGCAUUGGAUGUGUUGAAUUUCACUCAUCUCAAUGGAAAGCCAACUAGGAUUAUGUAUUCCCAUUGUGACCCUAGUGUCCGCAAAAGUGGAACUAGGAAUAUAUUUAUUAAGAAUUUGGAUAAAAGGGUUGACCACAAAGCAUUGCGUGACACUUUUUCCACAUUCGGUAACAUCUUCUCAUGUAAGGUAGCCGCUGAUGCAUCUGGAUCAUAUAGUGGGCUGUGAGGAGAUUCUUUUUUGUUUUUUUUAGAAAGAAAAGUCAACAUGGUAAGGAUCUGAUCACUUACCAAAUAUGACAAGGCGGCAUCUUGAGGGAAUCUCCAAGUGAGUCACCAUGUAUGUACUUUCCAUAUAUCGAUGCGCAUUAAAAAGGAAAUGGAGAAUUCCAUAAAAAUGGUGGGUUGCCAUAUAAAUAGGAACAUAGGAACGGGCAGAGGGAUUUUUUUUUUUUUUUUUAGGAGAGGAUCCAAGCAUAAAGCAGAAUUUUUCAGAGGGGAAUAAGCGGAAAGAAUUUUCACGCGGAACUUUGGAGGAGAGCAAGGGACUUCAGGCAGAAACCAGGCUAUCAGCUUAGUCACCAAGAGAGGAUUUUCUCUUUCACUUCACAUGUUAGUUUUCCAUAUAAUAUUUUUAUUUAGUCUAGAUUUUUUUUAACAAAUAUCAAUUUUUGAUUAAUUCUUUGUGUUAAAGUUUAUUUUGUUUUUAAAUUCUCAAUUAGUUUAGUUCUAAUCCACCUUUUAAUUUUAUUUUCUGAUUUAAUUUGAAUGUGUUAGUGACUUUUAUUCCUUAGUUUAAGUCAUUUGUGAAGUAAACUUUAUUUUUUAAAAUUCCGGAUUAACUUAAUUUAAGUUUAUGAUUUAAUUUGAAUGUGUUAGUGACUUUUAUUCCUUAGUUUAAGUAAUUUGUGAAGUAAAGUUUUUUUUUUUUAAAUCCCGGAUUAACUUAAUUUUAGUUUAUGAUUUAAUUUGAAUGUGUUAGUGACUUUUAUUCCUUAAUUUAAGUAAUUUGUGAAGUAAAGUUUAUUUUUUAAAAUUCCGGAUUAACUUAAUUUUAGUUUAUGAUUUAAUUUGAAUGUGUUAGUGACUUUAAUUCCUUAGUUUAAGUAAUUUGUGAAGUAAAGUUUAUUUUUUUAAUUCCGGAUUAACUUGAUUUUAGUUUAUGAUUUAAUUUGAAUGUGUUAGUGACUUUUAUUUCUUAAUUUAAGUAAUUUGUGAAGUAAAGUUUUUUUUAAAAAAAAUUCCGGAUUAACUUGAUUUUAGUUUAUGAUUUAAUUUGAAUGUGUUAGUGACUUUUAUUCCUUAGUUUAAAUAAUUUGUGAAGUAAAGUUUAUUUUUUUAAAUUCCGGAUUAACUUAAUUUUACUUUAUGAUUUAAUUUGAAUGUGUUAGUGACUUUAAUUUAUUAGUUUAAGUAAUCUUGUGAGAUAAAGUUUAUAUUUUUAAUUCCGCAUUAGUUUAGUUUUAGUUUAUGUUUUAGUUUGAAUGUAUUAGUAAUUUUAAUCCAUUAGUUAAAUAAUUUCAUUAGAUAAAGUUUAUGUUUUUAAAGGAGUUUUGAUUUUGUUUUAUCCCAUCUUUUUAGUUGAUGUAUUUUUAUAAUCUUAGUUUAGUUUAUUAGAUUAAUUAAUUUUAUUGAUAAAAUUUAUACUUCUAAUCUUGUUUUAGUUUAAUUGCAAUUUAUUGUUUGGUUUGUAUUUUCUUUUUAUAUAAUCUUAGUUCAUUAAUUUAAUCAAUUCUAUUGAUAAAGUUCAUGUUUUUAACCUUGUUUCAGUUUUGUUUUAAUUUAUAUAUUUAGUUUAGGUUUCUUUUUUAGAAUUUUAGUUUAUCAAUUUGGUUGAUCCAUGUAAUUAAUCUCAUGUCUUUUUAAAUUGUUUAUCCUUGUUUUGAUUCAUGUUAUCUAGUUUAAGUGGUUUUAGAAUUCUAGUUUAUUAGUUUAAUUGACCCUAUGCGAUUGAAUUUAUGUUUUUAAAUAUUAAUCUUAUUUUUUAUUCAUCUUUUUAGUACAUGAGUUGUUUAAGUUGAUUGGUUCCAUGUCAUUUUCAUGUUCUUAAACUUGUUAAUUUUAUUUCUUGGUUGAUCCACUUUUAGUUUGUAUGUUUUUUAAAUCUUUAGAUAACUUGUUUAAUUGAUCUUAAGUUGUAUUCUUUCUAUCUUAAAUAUAUAAAUUUUCAUUCUUGGAUUGAUCAUAAUUUAGUUCAUAUGUUUCUCUAAAAUUUUAGUUAAUUAGCUUAAUUGAUCUUAUGUUAGUUUUUUAUUAUUCUUCUGUGUUCAAUUCCCCAUUUUUAAUUCUUGAUUAAUAUCUUCUAAUUUUAUUUGAUCUAAAAUCAUUUAAUUUAUUGCUUUGAUAGUUUUCUUUGUUUUUUUUUUUGUGAAGUUUAAUUUUUAGAGGUCAUUUGAAAAUCAUGAAGAUUGGCUUCUACCCUCACCUUUAUUAGUCUUGUUGAUUACUGAGAAAAUUUUACUUUGUGAUUUUGUUUUAUUUUGGGUUGCCUAUAUUUGAUCUUUGCGAAUUGUUUUUUUGUGAAUAAUGUCUUUCUCUUUAAAAUAAAAUACUUUUCUCAAAAUGUUCCUUAUAAAAAUCCAUUUUAAAAAUUCAUUUAGAGUCCUUAGAAUCAAAAAUCUCAUUUUCUUAAAAUAAUAUGCAACCAAUUUUUUUUAUCAGUUUGCAUCUUUCUUGGUUUUUUUAAUGAAAAUUUUGGUUUUAAAUCAAACACAAAUCCAAGCUUUUGGUCCCUAUAUGUGGUUCAUUAUUCAUGGUGGCCUAGUUAUAGAUAUGUAUAUUAAACUUCAUUCCUUUAACUUUUAAAAGCUGACAUCACAUAUAAUACCCUCAUUAACAAGGACAUUCCCCCCUCAAGAUGGAACAUAUAAAUUUUCAUUGCUUAGCUUGGAAUUGAAAGCCGAAAAUAGGUUUUUGCACAGAGAUGAAGCAAUAUCACUUCCCCUGUGGUUUUGUUGGUUUUUAACCUUCUUAGUUGGUGGUGAGGUUAUUGUUAUUACCUUUAUUGGAUCUUGGUAUCAUUUCUGGAAAUGGAACAGUUACUAUAGUUGAAUUUCUGAAUAAGUUGAAUUUUAACUUUUAUACUCAGACUUUCAAUGAAUUUUUAUCAGAGAGUUGAAACCCGGUGCUAGACCAAUUGCCUGCACGGAACAUGAUGACGUUGUUGUAUGUGCUGCAGAUGAUCGUCUAACAGCAUUUAAAUCUUUUGAAGUUUCUCUAAGAUUUUGGAUUAAGGUAUUAUAUAUCGCUUUGAAUAUUUGUGAUGUAAGAGCUACACAUCUUUUAGAGGUUGUUUUGGUCUCAGCUUUUGCUAUUUUGUUUAGGUAAAAUGAAACUAAUGGUCAGAAGUACUUUCUGAUGAAGAGUAAAAAGUAGUUAUGAUGCAAGAAGUGUGAGCUCCUCGUACCAUCACCCCGGUUGAGACCUUGUGGUUUUCCAUGAAAUUUCCCACAUUUUUCUUUGGUGUGAUAUGUUUUCUUGCUGUACGAGCACUUCUUCAUCAACUCCUGUCUUCCUUGCUCCAUGUUAACAUUAUGAUUUGUACCAUUUGGUUUGGCUCCUCCACUUGGUUUCUUUACAAUCAUGGUUUAUCCAUCCACUAGUGGUGUACCAAGCAUCACCUAUAGACCCCAAAGUUUGUUCCAAUUUUAUUUUUACAUUAAUUUUUGAGCCCACAACAUUUUAUCAUCCUUUAAAGGAUCAGCACACAUGGCAGAGAAGAGGUGACCUUGUACUGGCUGUCCAAAAGGUGACAUGAGGGACCCAUUUGAAAUCUGCUAUCAUGAACACCCUACACCCUCUUUUUUCUUAUUUAAGAAAAAGAAAAACACUGAAAUAGAAGUAGGAGCGUGCGUGUGAGUGUCAGCUCACAUGGUAGAAAAGAUGUGGCCCUUUUACUGUUUCUCCAUUUAACUUAAAGGUUACACUGAACAAAAAUAAGAAGUUUAGGAUAUCAAACACUAGCUGCCCAUUUGGAAAAAAAUGACUGUUUCAAGUCCAUUUGGCAGCCAUUGCGGGACUAAAACAAAAAAAUUACCUUACCCAAUAAAAUGGUAAUUUAUUUCAAUUUGGACCAUAAUUCUCAUUCCUACUAUAUAUUUAUUUAUAUUUGGAAUCAUCAGUUGUAGCAGCCUUGCUUCAUCUACAACCUAAACAUGGUGAUGGUGUUACAAUGCAAAAUUCACCAAUCCUUCUUCAAACUUUUUUGAGUUUUCCCUUGACAAUGCUGUGAUGAAAAGUCCAAGAAAGCCCAAUGAAAAGGAACAGAAAUGCUCACCCUUCUCUCAACUCUCAACUGCUGGUCCCCACCCAAAAUCUAUGCCCAUACUUUCCAAGCAAUAUCCUUAAUUAGUCUGGUAGGCGAAGAAGACUGGGCUCCAAAAGGAUGCUGUGAGAUAUCUGGAAGAUCACCCAUGACAUUUUCAACGUACUGUGCGGUUGAAGGCCGAAAGAUAAACACAAAGCAAGAAAGCAUGGACAUGAGAAACUUGGAAUAGGAGAAAUGGAAAGCAGCAUGUGCCUUAGCAGUGCAAUUUUGUCUCUGUGUUUGUCAUGUAUGUGGUUGGGAGUAGUGCCUUCCAUUUCUAGUGCACAGACAGACACCAUCAAACCUGGGGAAGAGCUUCAAUUCUCGGAAAAAUUACUGGUUUCUGCAAAAGGGACUUUUACUCUAGGCUUCUUCAGCCUGGAAUCUGGCAGUUAUUUAGGAAUAUGGUACACAACUGAUGAUUAUCACAAGAAAGUUUGGGUUGCUAACAGAGACAAGGCUAUAUCCGGCACCGAUGCAAAUCUCACGCUGGAUGCCGAUGGCAAAUUGAUGAUCACGCAUAGUGGGGGUGAUCCAAUUGUCCUGAAUUCCAAUCAAGCAGCCAGAAACUCAACAGCUACUCUGCUUGAUUCUGGAAAUUUUGUUUUGGAAGAGUUCAAUUCGGAUGGAUCUCUGAAGGAGAAACUAUGGGCGAGUUUCGAUAAUCCUACAGACACCCUCCUGCCUGGGAUGAAACUAGGCAUCAACUUGAAAACCGGGCGAAACUGGUCACUUGCUUCAUGGAUAAGCGAACAAGUGCCUGCUCCUGGGACUUUUACUCUGGAAUGGAAUGGCACACAAUUGGUGAUGAAACGCCGAGGGGGCACCUACUGGAGCAGUGGAACCUUGAAAGAUAGGAGCUUUGAGUUCAUUCCUUGGUUGAUGAGCUCUGACACUUUCAAUAACAUCUACAGUUUUAACAGUGUUUCGAAUGCAAACGAGAUUUACUUUAGCUAUUCAGUUCCAGAAGGAGUUGUUUCAGACUGGGUAUUGACCUCGGAAGGGGGACUUUUUGACACUAGUAGACCCGUAUUUGUGCUGGACGAUCAGUGCGCUAGGUAUGAAGAAUAUCCAGGGUGUGCAGUGCAAAACCCACCCACUUGCAGGUCUAGAAAAGACGGAUUCAUGAAGCAAUCGGUUCUCAUAUCAGGAUCACCAUCAUCAAUAAAAGAAAAAUCGAGCUUGGGCCUUAGGGAUUGUAAGGCUUUAUGCUGGAAUGAUUGUUCUUGUACUGCUUAUAAUAGUUUAUACACUAACGGAACUGGAUGUCGGUUUUGGAGUACAAAAUUUGCACAAGCCCUCAAGGAUGACGCAAAUCAGGAGGAGCUCUAUGUUUUAUCCUCAUCACGAGUUACGGGUAAGAGUCUCUCUAUAUUUUUGCAUUCCUGAAAGUAACCAAAGCAAAGUAGUUGAUGAAUCCAACAUUUUUAUUGAAUUUACAACCCUAAUAGGUGAUCAAAAAUUCAAAAUACCAUUAGAGGAGCUAUAUCAUGACCAUAAAAGACCCUCCUUCACUCAGUUCUGCUCUAACCACAAAAUUUAUCAACUUCUAUCUAUGCAGGGAGCAGUUGGUGGAUAUGGGUCAUUAUUGCAGGAGUGGUACUUGUGGUCUUGUUGGUACUUGUGGUCUUGUUACUUACGGGCUCCUUAUACUAUUCAAGGAGAAAAUUCAGAGGUAGUAUUUUAUUUGAACUUUUGUUGAUGAUAGUAAUGCCAUUUGUUAAUGGGUUGGAUUGAACUUGUGACUUGUGGUAUAACAGGGGAGAGAGAAAUGGAGGAAGCUGCGCUGCUUGAAUUGACAACUUCAAACAGCUUUAGUGAUUCAAAAGAUGUUGAACAUGAUGGAAAGAGGGGGGCUCAUGAUCUUAAACUGUUCAGUUUUGAUUCUAUUGUGGCUGCCACGAAUAACUUUUCAUCUGAAAAUAAACUUGGAGAGGGUGGUUUUGGCCAGGUUUAUAAAGUAAAUAUUAUUAUUUCAUUAAUCCAUGGCAUGUAAUAGGAAUAGGACAUUCUUUGUUUUAAGUACCCCAAUUAAAGCUUCCUUUUGGAUUGUGGAUUGUGGAUUGUGGAUUAUUUUUGCAGGGGAAAUUACCUGAGGGGCAAGAAAUAGCAGUGAAGAGACUUUCAAGGGGCUCCAGCCAAGGAUUGGUGGAGUUUAAAAAUGAGAUUAGACUGAUCGUCAAACUCCAACACAUGAAUCUUGUUAGACUUCUGGGUUGCUGCAUCAAGGGAGAAGAAAAGAUGUUAAUCUAUGAGUUCAUGCCCAACAAAAGCUUGGACUUCUUCCUCUUUGGUUUGAAUACUUCCCUUUUUUUCUUCCUUUUAUCUGCAUGACUUUUCCUUAUGUUCUUAUCUUUUUUUUUUUGCUUGAAACAAUUUACUAGCUGUGUGUUGUGUUCACCCAAAUUUUCAGAUCCUGCUAGAAGAAAGAUAUUGGACUGGAAAAGACGUCACAAUAUCAUUGAGGGGAUUGCACAAGGACUUCUUUACUUGCAUAAAUAUUCAAGACUAAGAAUUAUUCAUAGAGAUCUAAAAGCAAGUAACAUCCUACUUGAUCAUGACUUGAACCCGAAAAUUUCUGAUUUUGGCAUGGCCAGAACUUUUGGGCGAAAUGCAUCGGAAGCAAAUACAAAUAGGAUAGUUGGAACAUAGUAAGCAUGACUUUUCUUUAUCUAUCAACUUUCUUUUUCAGUCUAAUGUACUAAACCUUCUACUAUGGAUGCAGUGGUUACAUGCCACCCGAGUAUGCCAUGGAAGGAAUUUUCUCGGUGAAAUCAGAUGUUUAUAGCUUUGGGGUCCUACUGUUGGAGAUUGUGAGCGGCCGAAAGAACAAAAGCUUUCAUCAUAACCACGGUGCCUUUGCCAUAAACCUGGCAGUAUACGUGAGUAUGCUAUAUCUCAUAUUUGUCUCUACAUUAUUUUCAACAGCACCCGGUGUAUCCUUCCAAAAUUUUCAUACUAACCUCAUAAGUAAAUCAACCCUAAAUGAACUGGAAACAGGCUUGGGAUCUAUGGAAAGAAGGUACUAGCUUGGAGCUAGUGGAUCCAAUGCUGGAGGAUUCCUACUCAACAACCCAAAUGUUGAGAUGCAUUCAUAUUGCUCUCUUGUGCGUACAGGAGAGCGCAGCAGAUAGGCCUACAAUGUCAGCUGUUAUCUCCAUGCUCACCAACGAAACUGUGCCCCUACCAAACCCAAAUCUACCCGCAUUUUCCACUCAUCAUAAAGUGUCAGAGCUAGAUUCACACAAAGGCAGGCCAGAGAGUUGUUCUGGAUAUGUAACUAUUUCAGAGACGGAAGGUCGGUAAAGAAGAGAAUUUCAAGGGGUGACAGGAAACCUAGAGACCAGAAGUUGUUGUCCUAACCUAUCAGCAAUUUGUCUAGAUUGAUUUGUAUUGCCACCAUAGAUUUAUUAGAUAUAGAGUCAACUAGGUUUCCCUCAAGGUAAUCUUUUUCAAAGCACAACAGAAGCUGAUUUGGUAUCAUUUGAAACAUAGUUUGAACCUAUAGCCUGCAGCUCUAUUUGCCUUUUUUUCUAGGAAAUUUAUCUAACCAUACACUAAAUACCAAAAUUUUGCCUUUUAGAAACUUUGUUUUUUACUUUUGAAAUUUAGUGGAUUUUGGGGAAAAUAAAUGUUUUUCCAUACACUGUAAUAAUAAUGUUGAGACCCUUCCAAAAAUGCCCACUUUGACAGCUCUCCUAGUUGGAUCACCCACUUGGAAAAGUCACGUAAGCAAGGUCCAAGUCAGCCACCUACUAAAGCUGAUGACAAGGCUCAUGUACAUGUCAUCAUCAAACUAGACACUUCACAUGAAUUGAUUUUUUAAAACAUAUUUACCCCCAAAUGUCUUCUUCUCUCUUCAACCAAACCCUAACACCAAAAACCCAUGUUCUUUCUUCUUCGGUCACAAGCACAACCCAUCACAAGGCGGAAUGAUCCAUAAAAAAUCCGGUAGCUUCUCAAUUUGUCAUAACCCAUCAACCCCAAACGAACCUCCAAACAUGAUCCCUUAUUUUAUUUCUCCUCCAUCACCAUAAGAAAGACGACAUCAUCAUUUUCCCACCAAACAUCAAUUCGAAAACAAAAGUCCAAGUGUGAAACCCCUAACAAAGCCUAGGUAGACAAAUAACCUCUUUCCUUCUUCUCAUUUCAACAUCGACAAAGUCAUUUCUUCCCUGCCUAUACUUCCUCUUUUGCUUUUACGUUGAAAAAGAGAAAGAAAGCAAUUGAGAGAAAGAGGGAACAAAGCAAUGAAAUAUUGUAGUUGCAUUUAACUUAUAAAGUAAGGGUUUUUCCAGAUAAUAUAUGUAUUUUAUUAAAUUUUAUAAUAACUAUUUAUUUUGAUUUGUCAUUUUGAUUCUUUGAGAUUUGAAUAUUGUUAUAGUUAUGUGAUUUUUGGAAUGUUGUGAUUUAAACUUGAUUACAUUGCAUAUUUGUACAUGUUGAAUGUUCAUUAAUAUUAUUCAAUUUUAUAUUUUAAUUUAUUUAGGGUUUAUUUGAAAUGAAAUAUGGUUUAAAAUUUGAUAAAUGAUAAGAAAAUGAAAUGGUGGUAAACUAUAUUGAUUUUGUUUUAUUUUCUGAAUUGUUGUGUUUGUGUUGUAUAUGGUUGUUGGGAAGAAUAUAGAAAAGAGAAGAAAAAUAUGACUAUUGAAUGAGAAGGGAAUACAAUUUUUAUAUGGGAUUCAAGAUGUUUUGUUGUUUAAUGUUGUUUAUAUGGGAUUCUAAAAUGAGUAGGUUGAGUUUUUUUAUAUAGUUGUUAAUUGGUGAAUUUAAUGCAUAGGAAAAGAAUUCAUGUUUAGUCAUGAGUAGAUGAGUACGAAUUUUAAAAAUGAUUGGGAGUAAAGUUUGAAUAAAUUUCUUCAUAAAAGUUUUGAAUUUGUAAUGAAUGAGGGUUGAAUUGAAAAAGAAAAUAAAACAAAUGUAGUAAAGCAGACAUGAAUUUAUGUUGGAAUUAGGGAAAAUAGUAGUGGAGCCUUAGGUGGAAAUCUGAUGCUCACAACCACAAAUAUGAAAUUUGUUUUGUUUAUAUGUGUGUAAUGGUCAUAAUAGGGGUCUACCCUUGGAUGAAGGUGUUGAUCGUAAUUCAGGUAAUGACAUUUGGAUGAAAUAAUUGUUUUUGUAAGAGGUUGCAGUAAGUAAUUAGAGGUUAACCCAUUUGUUUGGAGGUAGGCCCUUAGUUGUAAACAUUGUUGUGGUCUAAUCUAGGGAGUAGACAAAAUAAAGAAAGACCUAUUGUUUCAGGGGUUGGCCCGAAGACAGGGCCAUUAGCACAAUUUAGCUUGAAAAGUUACAAAAACAAUGGUUGGGCCAUGAAUUGAGAGGUUCACUUCCCAACUUAUAUAACAUAACAAAUUACUACCAAAUAAAAUAGAAUAAUUGCAUUGUUUAAUGUUAAGUAUACUCUAUGCAAGUCCAUAUUUACAACAUUAAUUGAAGACCAUGAAAUGUAAAUGAAGCUCACUUGUAAAGUUCCAAAGAUAAAUGAUGUAUGAAUAUAUGAUGGUCAUAAGCAUGAUAAUCAGUUUUGUUAUAAGUAAUUUGGUUUAGGCAGUGUUAUUAAAAAAUUAGUUAAUUGUUUCAACUUGACUAAAGGUUCAUGUUUCUAAACAGGGGCUACACAUGAUCGAGUAUCAUUUAAAUGGAUCCAAGUAAUACAAUUUACUAUUAUCUGUAGAUUGGAAGAGAGCUAGUAAGGGGUGAACAUGGCAGUGUGGAAUAUAUGGGUGGGAGACGAGAGAGUAUAAUGUUAGAACGAUCAAUGACAUAUAAUGAUUCAAGGAUUUGUGGGAAAAUGAGCAUCGAUAUAGUGGGACCAACAUUUUCGUACACUCUCCCAUUUGAUCUAUAUGCACUUCAACCAUUGAAAAAUGAUGAAGACUUGACAAACAUGUUUCAGUUUAGUGACCAAUCCACACGUGUAUAUAUGUUUAGCAUCAACAGUUGAAGGUGAUGAAACAGUUGAGAAUGGAGGACAAAGGUAAGUUAUAUCAAAAGAAUAUCUAAUCUUAAAUGAUUUCGUGUAUUUAUUUAUUUAUUAAUAUUUAUGCUUAUUCAUUAGAUGAUAAGUUGAUAAAUAAACAUAUUUAUAAUGCAGAUUGAACGAAACAAUGGUAGGGUCAAACUCACUGGUCCCAUAUUCAAUAAGGGAUGUUGAUAUUAAUUAGAAUGCAAUCACGAGGGUUUCAUCAAAGAUGUGUUGAAUCACAUGUGGGUACACUAGAGUCGAGUCAUUUUGAGAGUGCAAUAUUGGGUAGUGGGCAUACCUUCUCAAUUGCAAAUGACUUUUGAGAUGCAAUAUAUCUCAUGUCAAUAGGAAACCAUUUUAGAUAUAAGUUUAGGAGGAAUUGUCUUAAGCAUAUGACUGUAAUAUGUGUUGUUGAAGGAUGCCCUUGGAAAGUAACUACUCGUGUUGUUGGGAGAACAAAAAUAGUUCAGGUGCAUACAUUUAUAAGUGAACAUAACCACUCUUUAGAAGAUGUGUCAGUUUUUGAACCAAUAGUUCGUUGUAAUCGAGACACAACUAUGAUUGAUGAUGUUAUUCAUUCAAAUCCAAAUUACUUGUCUCAUCAAAUAUGUAAAGACUUUCAUCGACAAUACAGAAUGCAAUUGAAUUAUUGUCAAGCAUGGAACUUGAAAGAGAAGGCUAAAGAACGAAUCAAUGGCGUGCCCCAAUGCUCAUAUAAGUUGUUGCCUUGAUUGUGUACAAGGCUUAUUGAAACAAAUCCAGGGACGAUUUUUUAAUAUAGAUGUUCGGGUGAUGGUCAUUUCAUCCAAUUGUUUGUUGCCCUUUCAAUGUCAAUACAUGGGUUUAAAACAGGGUGUCGGCCUAUUAUAUCAACAGAUUCAUCCCACAUGAGUGAGCCAUACAAGGGUGCUUUAUUUUUAGCUUCUUUGUAUGAUGCUAAUAAUGUCAUGUUUCCACUUGCUUAUUGCUUAUUUAGCUCCAAGAAUUACAAGGAUUGGCUUUGGUUCUUAGAAAAAUUGAAGAUGGUCAUAGGUAAAAGAGAGGUUAUAAUAAUAUCUAAUAGGGACCAAGGAAUUAUCAGUAGUGUUUCAGAGGUAUUCGACAAUGAAAAUCUUGCACAUUGCUAUCAUCACAUUAAAGAAAACUUAAGUAGCUUACUAACAAAGUUGAACAUUAAAUGGAGGAAAAUAAAGGAAAAUGUUUUGCAAAUGCUCGAUUCUAUCGCCUAUGCUAGGUUAGAUUGUGAUUAUUAGGUUACAAUGGAUACUUUAAGGACAUUUAAUCAUGAUUCGGCAAAGUGGGUUGAAAAAAAUAACCCUCAACAUUGGGCAAUCUCUAAAUUUAAGAAGAUGCAUUGGGAUAAGAUGACAAACAAUCUAGCUGAGUCUUUCAAUUCUUAGUUAAGACAUGAAUGACACCAUAACAUUUGUGUUUUCUUCAUUGAGCAUAUGGAUAAGUUAGGAUCUCUUUUAGUCAAGCACAAAAAUGGACUUGUAAAAUGGAAUGGGUACAUUAGUCCUAAAACAUAAGAAAAUAUUGCAUUGAACAUUGCAAAAGGUGAAAAUUAUAUCACUUAUUUACACUUGGGUAGUUCGAUGAAAGUAUCCAAUGGAAAAGCAUUCUUAGAAGUGGACUUAAUGGAGCGAACUUUCACAUACAAAGCAUGGCAAAUGUCUGGAAUUCCAUGUGAUCACACCUGUGCAGCUAUACGGCGAAUGGGUUUGAUGUAUCUGAUUAUGUUGAUGACUAGUAUAGGUACAAUUUGCAAGAUAAUAUAUACUUUGGAAGCAUGCGUACUUUAGUAAUGCAUAAGAUGCCAAUGAUUGAUGAAGAUGGAACCGUUCGUGAUGCCUUGGGUCAUACUUAUCCCUUUCUUAAUCUUCAAACCACAAAGCAACCUCCUAGAAAACCUAAGAAACAUCAAAUCGAGUCUCAAUUCAUGUAAAAAGAAAAAAAAAACGGUUCAUUGUUCUCGUUGUAAUGAGCUUGGGCAUAAUCGUGCGACAUGCACCAACCCAUUGUCAUAACUAUUUAAUUAAACUUCAUAAUGUAACAUCGACUUUAUAUUAGUGUGUAAUAAUUUGGUAAUCUUCGUUGUUGUUUCUCAUAUUAUAAGCAAUGACUAAUUUAUUGGAUUUGUAGUGUUCGGUGUACACAUAUUGUGAUUGUAUGUUGUUCUUCAAUAUUAUGGGAUCUGUUACAUGAUAAUAUAAUUGUAAUAACAAAAUGUGUACCUUGGUGAUGAUUGUUCGAAGAUGCCAUUAAAGUCACAUAGAUUCACAUGGUGUUCUUGGCAAAAAAACAGAUUGUUAACUAGUGGGCAUAAUCGUGGUCAACCUUUUUUCACAUGUAUGGGUUGUCGCUUUUUGGUUGAUGACCCUUAAUCAUAUUAUUUAGUUUUGUGUGAAGUGGUCAGUAGCCAACCCUUAGAUCAUAGGCAGUCCUAUCAUUUUUCUUAUUUAAAAUUGGCUUUGUGUUAUGUGAGGAGUCGGUAAAAAGGAGGUUGACUCAUUGACACCAUGGGAAGGCAUUCGAACGUUUACACUAUACACUUAGAAUUAAUGGACUUUUAUACCAUAACAUUAGUUUGGUAUGUUAUGUGCAGAAGUCAAUCUAGGGGCGCACCCUCCAUUUCAGAGGCAUGCCUAUAUGUGAAUGACAUUAUAUUACCCUACUAUAUGCAGAAGGCAAAGUAGGGGUGCACCCUUUGUUGCAUAGGCAUGGGUAUGAUAACAUUAUUUUGGUAUGUUAUAUGCAGUACACAAACUAGAAGCACACCCUUGAAUUUAGAGGCAUGCCUAUUAGUGAAACCAUUAUAUUGGUAGGCUAUGUGCAGUAGUCAACCUAAUGGCACAACCUUCAUGGAAGACGCAUGAAUGUGGGUGAAAAACUUGAUUUUGUUAAGCUAUGUGCAGUAGGAAAAAGAUAGGAUGACUCUCUAUCGAAGGCAUGCCUUCAAGAUGACUAGAUUUGAGGUGUGGGUUGGACAAUAAGGCAAAUGGAGGCUUGUCGAUAGCUUGAAAGGUUGGCCCUUGACAUUCAUAUGAAAUCAACAACCACUAAAGGAAUAAAUGAACAAAAGUUAUGCAUUAUCAAAUGUUUGGUAGAGACCAUAUGUUCUAAUGUUUAGCACAAUAAUGUCAUACCAUCUAGUGUUAAUGAAGUUUAGUUGUAUUUUUUAAAAUCUAAAUAAGGCAUUAAUAAUAAUGACAAUAGGUGUGAAUGUGACAAUUGUUAUAGUUAAUUAAUUUUGGCAAGGUUAGUUACAAACACUGUUGUAAGCAAUUAAAUACCUAAUGGGGUCCAAAAAGGGGAUUAAAAUAAUUUAUGCUUAUUUUAUAAAUGAUGUAAGUCUUUUUGUAAGGAAUAUACGUAUUAUUGCACAUAUUAACGUACACACACACACACACAUAUAGAUGUAUUAAAGUAAGAGGGCAUGAGGUCUCGGAUUGAUGUUAAAAAAAUGUACAAUACUUUAUUAAAGUUAAUAAAGAACGGAUUGAUCUUAAAGAUAUAUUAAACAUUGUGAUGAUGUUACGAGGGUUUGAAACUCCGUUAAAUGGUGGUGAAUGACUUCCCAUCAGUUCUUAUGGGUUCUCGGUAGCAUGAGGCCUUGAAAUACCAAAUUUUCUUACAAAUGUACCAAAUUUUAUAAAAUAAAAUAAAAAAUGUACCAAAAGUUGUAAAUGAUGUAGCAAAAUUUGUCAAGGAUGUAUCAAGGGUUUAAAAGUUUGUUCAAGAGUAGUGAACAACCUUUCAUUAAUUAACACAGAUCCCUAAAUGAAAUAAUGGACCAUAGGUGAUAAGAUGGGUGUUUCAGUGGCAAUAAGAUUAGAUGUACCAAAUUUUAUAAGGGGUCUCGACAAUAAUAGGAACAGAUGUACCAAAUUUUAUGAAGAAUGUAUCAAAUUUUGUGAAUGAUGUACCAAGGGUUCCAACGUGCGUUCAGAUGUGGGGAUCAACCCCCAAGCACUUUCUUAUGGGUUCUCAAAUGAAAUUAUGGACCCUAGGUGAUAAGAUGGGGGUCCCAUAAGCAAUAGGAUGAGAUAUACCAAAUUUUAUAAAGGAUGUACCAAAUUUUGUGAAGAAUGUACAAAGGGUUCCAAAGUGCACUCAGAGGUGGGGAUCGACCCCUAAUCACAUCCUUAUGGAUUCCCAAAUGAAAUUAUGAACCAUCUAUGUCCAAAUAGGGGUCUUGAAAGCAAUAGGAUUGGAUGUACCAAAUUUUGUAAAGCAUGUACUAGAUUUUGUAAAAGAUGUACCAAGGGUUCCAAAGUGCAUUUCGAGGUGGGGAUCGACCACCAAUCACUUCUUUAUGGGUUCCCAAAUGAAAUUAUGGACCCUAUGUGAUAAGAUGGGGGUCCCGAAAGAAAUAGGAUGAGAUGUACCAAAUUUUACAAAGGAUGCACCAAAUUUUGUAAAAAAAUGUACCAAAUUUUGUGAAGAAUGUACAAAGGGUUUCAAAGUGCAUUCUGAGGAGGGGAUCAACCCCCAAUCAUUUUCUUAUGGGUUCCAAAAUGAAAUUAUGGACCAUAAGUUAUAAGAUGGGGGUCCCGACAACAAUAGGAUCGGAUGUACUAAAUUUUGUGAAGGAUGUACCAAAUUUUCCAAAGCAUGUUUUGAGGUGGGGAUCGGCCACGAAUUACUUCCUUAUGGGUUCCUAAAUGAAAUUAUGGAACCUAGGUGAUAAGAUGGGGGUCUCGAAAGCAAUAGAAUGGGAUGUACCAAAUUUUACAAAAGAUGUACCAAAUUUUAUGAAGGAUGUACCAAAGAUUCCAAGGUGCGUUCUUAGGUGGGGAUUGACCCCCAAUCACUUUCUUAUGGGUUCCAAAAUGAAAUUAUGGACCAUACGUGAUAAGAUGGGGGUCCCAACAACAAUAAGAUUGGAUGUACCUUAGAUUUUUUUAAACGUGUUCCUUAGUAACUUGAUGAAAGUUACGAACAUUUUUUUAACGUUAAUCCAAGACCUCAUGGCCUCUUACUUUAAUCUAUCUAUCCUUAUGAAAAAUUGACAUACAUCUAUUGUUUUACACACACACACAUAUAUUCCUUACAAAAGGACGUACUUCAUUUAUAAAAUAAGCAUAAAUUAUUUUAAUCCCUUAUGUCGACCUCGUUAGGUAUUUAAUUGCUUACAUAAAUAUUUGUAACUAACCCUACCAAAACUAAUUAACCUAUAACAAUAGUCUUAUUCACACCUAUAGCCAUCAGAUAUUAAUGCCUCGUGUAAAUUAUGAACAAUUCAACUCAACUUCAAUAACACUUGAUGCUAUGACAUUAAUGUGCUAAACAUUGGAACAUAUGGUCUCUACCAAACAUCAGAUAAUGCAUUACUUUUAUUUAUGUAUACGGUGGCCACUUAUUUGAUAUGAACAUAUGCGAACAUUUCUAGCUUUGGGCAUGCCUCCAUUUGUCUUACUGCCCAACCCACAUAUCAAAUCUAAUCACUUUAAAGGCAUGUCAUAGACAGAAGAGGCAUGCCUAUCUUUUCUACUACACAUAGCAUAACAAAUUUAAGUUUUCACCCACAUUCAUGCAUCUUGCAUGAAGAGUGCACCCCUGGUUUGACUAUUGCACAUAGUCUACCAAUAUAAUGCCUUCACUAAUAGGCAUACCUCUUAAAUAAAUGGUGCACCCCUAGUUUGCAUGUUGUAUAUAGCAUACUAAAAUAAUGUUAUCAUACCCAUGGCAUGCCUUUGCAACAAAGGGUGUGCCCCUAGUUUGCCUUCUGCAUAUAGCAUACCAGUAUAAUGCCUUCGCACAUAGGCAUGCCUCUGAAAUGAAGGGUGUGCCCUUAUAUUGACUUCUAAAUAUACCAUACUAAACUAAUGUUAUUAUUAUUUUUAAAACAAAUUCCAUUGCUUCUAAGGGUACAAUGUCCACGUUCGAACGCCUUCCUAUUAAACAAUGGGUCAACCUUCCUUUUACCAACUGCCCACAUAACACAAAACCAAUUUUAAAUAAGAAAAACAAUGAGACUACUUAUGAACUAAAGGGUCGGCCCUUAAUUUUGCUAUUGACCACUUCAAACAAAACUAAUAAUAUGAUCAAGGGUUAUCAACCAAAAAAUGGAAACCCCUGCAUGUAUAGGUCAACCACUAUUAUGCCCACUGGUUAACAAUCUGUUUUUUUUUUUUUUUUUUUUUAUGAGAAACUCUUAGGUGAAGUUUUUUGCUUGAUUCCAACUAUUGUGCUAGUGCAUUUGCUUUAUAAAGAUCCUAAGUGUAGCAACCAGUGCUUUGUUGGUCACUUAUUUUAAGCUUUUCAAUUAGCUUACUCUUUUCCUUGAUAGUAGCCUUAUCGGUUUCAUGGACAUAGUUUGCCUCCACCUUUGCAGCUCAUUUACUUAAAAGCAUCCUAACAAUGAAACUCUUGUUGAAUCCUUCAACAUCAAUGGUUGUGAUAAUGGGCACUUGUAUAGAAAGGAAUCCAUUGUUUUGGAAGAAGGUGUGAGUUGCAUGAGUAAGUGCAUUCACAUAAUGAAUGCCACCUACAAGUUUUAAAGUAAAAAUUAAAACAAAAUGACCUAAUUAAUUUGUAGUCAAUGCAUUUAUCAUGGAUUUAGAUAAGAAGCUGCAUGGAACAAGAAGAUUAAUUACAGUCGUUGCUUAUGGCUAUGUCAUUGGCAGUUGAGAAGGUAUGCCCACUACCCAAUAUUGCACUCUCAAAAUGACUCGACUCUAGUGGACCAACAUAUGAUUCAACACAUCUUUGAUAAAAUUCUUGUGAUUGCAAUCUAAUAUCAUCAUCCUUUGUUAAAUAUGAGACUAUUGAGUUAGACCCAACAAUUGUUUCGUUCAAUUUGCAUUAUAAAUAUGUUUAUUUAUCAACUUAUCAUAUAAUGAAUGAACUUUUUUUUCCUCAAUGAUUUUCAAUUCUAAAGAGCUUCCAUUUUUAUUAUAUAAAAAAAAUUACUAAUUUAAAAUUUUUCUAAAAAUGAUCCAUUUCCAUAUUGAAAACAGUUUUUCGAUCAGGUUUCCCAAUCCCCUAACCAAACAUUUUUUCAGUGUCAUUUCCAUUUAUUUUCUUAAACAACCCUUUGCCAAACAGCCCUAUAAUUUUGGGUCCUAUAAGCCCAAAGCCCUACAAAUCAAAACCCACCAAGGUCACACUCUCCAAUACAAUUCCUCUUUUCACCAAGUGAAAAAUCAACCCAAUUCAAUACCCACCAUCUAGAUCAACCCAAUUAACACUUCAAAAACAUUAAAAAAAUCAAGCUAAACCCAAAAAACAAAACCCAAAAAAAUGCUCAUUAAUCACACCACAACCCAAACGAUCAAAUAAAACCCUCAUCAAAUCCUACACUAACUUUGCACCAAGAAAACAAAACCACACGAAACACAAAACCCUAGUACAAGAUCAACUAAUCCAAUCAAAUUCACAUCCAACAGUUCACAAACAUGGCCAAAAACUGAAAUUCACAAGCCAAAUAAUUGCGAGUCGAACCUGAAAAUCAAGAAUUGUACUUGUAACUUGACUUGUCUAAAAAUCCCAACUCCGAAGCCACCCAAGGUGCGCGGGAUAAGCAAAAUGGGUUCACAAGAUUACGGAGGUAGACCCCCUUUAGAUUGUUUAGGGUUUUGAUGGAUUGUGGCUAUGAACAAAGGAGAAAGAGUAUGGGUUUUUGGAGUUAGGGUUUGGUUUAAAAGAAAAGAAGGCAUUUGGGGGUAAAUCUCACUAUCCAUUUUGUUAUUUUUUGGCAAAUAUUUUAAAAAAAAAUCAUUCCACGUGGAUUUCUAGUUGGAUGGUGGCAUAGACAUGAGUCAUAUCAUUAGCUUAAGUGGGCAACUGACUUGGACCGUGCUCACAUGUCUUUUCCAAAUAGUUGAUCUAAUUGGAAGAGGUGUUAAAGUGUAGGAAGACAUUCUUGGAAGGAUCUCAGCAUCAUUAUUACAGCGCAUGGAAAAGUAUUUAUUUUCCCCAAAACCCACUAACCUUCAAAAGUAAAAAGUAAAAUUCUCAAAAAGCAAAUUUUUGCCCCUUGAUGUAUGGUUACAUAAAUUUCCUUUUAUUUCCUCCAUAACAUAUUAUAAUAGAUUGUACAUGUUUAUCUUAGCCAUGGUAGGCCAUUUAUGUUCAAUUAUUCAUUCUCAUUAUUUGGAAGGCAUAGGAUGGACUAUGCCAUAUGUUGGCAUCAAACAGAUGAUCAAAAAUAUGUUAUAUGCCAUACGUAGAGAAAAACACUCCAGACGACCAAAGUAGAAAGUGGAGAUAGUUUAUGACUGAUCCUCGCUCAAUUUGCACAUAACACCACCAGUUAACCAAACUUCAUCCUCCAUGCUUCAAGUAAUCCAUAACCAAGUUCUUCUCAGGAGACAUAGGUCUUCAAAUCUGAUGAUGGGAAAUAUCCACCUCCUCCUAAAGUGCAAGAUUUUACCAUGGUUUUAAAAACCAAAUCGGACUAGUCGGUCACGGUUCCAGUCCGGUCCAAUCAAUUGGGUCGAAAAGUGGUCGGACCAGAAUUGGACCAGUUAAACCAGUGGUCCGAUCGGGAACUGUCUGGUUCAAUUUUUUUUUCCACUGUCGUCGAUUCCCGUCGACGGGACCCCCACCCUCCUUGCAAAGCCAGUGUUGGAAAAGUUCUUAUUGCCAACUUGAACCACCCCCCCUCCCCCCCACCCCUUUCUUCCCCGUUGGAACCCUUUUUUACUUGUCGAAAUCCCUCCCACCCGGCACUAGAAACCCUACCCCCCAAAACCCUAUUGGAACCAUUUUUUGCCCACUCCUCUUAUCUCUUUUUCUAGAUUUUUUUUCUACCUCAUCUCACUGUUAUUAUAUAUAUAUAUAUAUAUAUUAUUUCAUGAUGUUUAAAACUUAUUGUUUUAAUUUUAAUUAAUGAAAACAUUACAAUUUUAAAUAAAUUCUUGAUUUUAAAAUAAGUUUUUCAUUUAAAAAUGAAUUUUAAACUUUUAAAAUUAAAAUUAAAAUUAUGAUUUUAAUUUAAAUUUCUAAUUUGAAACUAAUUUUCUGAUUUUCAAAUAAAAAUUUAAUUUUUAAAUAAUAUAUAUUAUUAUUUUUAUUUUUAUAAUUAUUUUAAAUUUUAAUAAUUUAUAAAUUAUAUAUUUAUGAAAUCACCGGUUCGAUCGUAGUUUGACCGCUGGUCUGAUCAAUGAACCUUAAACCAAUAACUUUUCCAGUUCAAUUACAGGUUCAGUUCUAAAAACAUUCAAUUUUACUGAGAAUCAUCCCUUUCUGGAGGCCGUCUCCACCACCUCAUCUAUGCCGACAUAGAAAUUCAAAUCAUGAAAAGUUGAAAGCCCCAUGAUAUGGGUUCCAACAUCCUCCCCCUAUAAAACUUGCACCCAUCCAUAAAAGCUUAUAUAUUCAAGCGGCACCUAUCUCCACAUCACCAUGAUGCUAAUGUUUACUCUUUUGCCCAUUUCCAGCCAAAAAGGAGAUAACCUAUAUAAGGAACCCCUCAUCAGCCACUCCUUAUGCUCUUCCAUAGCCCUCUCCCCGCAUGGUUUGAAGUAUUAGGCCAAGACUAGCCCCACUCAACCAAUUCUUAUUUGCCUUAACCAUGGUCAUGAUCAAUCCAAGAUCAAAUUUGAGAAUUCUACAAUUGAUAAUGACUAGGUUUCAAGUCCAAUAACAACUACUUAAUUCAGCCAACUCCAACUCCAACUCACUACUCUACUACUCAAAUUCAAUUAAUUACAAUUAUAAUGAAUGCCUAAAGAUGCCUUUAUUAGUGGUCCCAACAAUGUGUGUGUGCACCAUGUGCCCAGGAGGGGCAAAUGCCCCCCUGAAAUUUAGGAAUAUAUAUAUAUAUAUAUGUGUGUGUGUGUGUGUGUGGACCCCGCAUUUCGGCUCAUGUGUUUUCCACUCGAUGGCGAGCUCGAUUUUUAUUUAAAAAUGAUUUUAUUUAUUUAAAAAAAUGACUUGGAGUCGCCACUUAUUUUUGUUUUAUUUUUAAAAGGGUAAACAAAAUAAGAAAGAAAACACUAAGUGUGACUCCUUAUUUUGGAAAAGGUGGUCUGUGAAAAACCGGAUCGAGCUCGGGGGUCUGGUUACUUGUUGGGAAGGUACGGUAAAGACCGUAGCACCCCUCUAAGUCCCUAAAGUCGGGUCUCUACUAAUAAAAUGAAGCUGACGUGGCGAUCAAUAGGAAAAUCAACGGAUACUCAAAUCGACCAUGCACACAUGGGAAUCAAAACAUGCAUAGAGAAUGACCAGAAUAGAAAGGGAUGCAUACCUGGGCCACGAACGAGCAAUGUGUUAUCAUAAAAAUGGAGUCAGUGUAUAAUAAAGAGCACAAAACAUAUUACAUGCGUCACCAAAUAGAAAUUAAAAAACUGUUGAGGGAAAACUGGAUUUUUGAAAUUUAUUUGAAAUUUGGAGUUUUAGAGAUUAUUUGAAAAUUGGAUUUUUAGAAAUUAAAUAUAAGAAUAAGAAUUUUAGAAAUUAAAUUUGAAAGGAAUUGGAAUUUCAGAGAACUAAAUUUGAGAAUUGGAAUUAUGAAAAAUUAUUUAAAGACGGAAUUUUAAUAAACAAAUAAGUGGAUAAAUGAAUGAAUGGAAUAAUAAUAAUGAUGAAAUAAUAAAGAUUAGGUAAAUAAUUGUGAAAAAUAGAAUUUUAGAUAUUAGAGAUUGAAUUUAGAAAUUGAAAUUUUGAUAAAUUAUUUGGAGAUGAGAUUUUAAAUAUAUGAAUAAGUAAAUAAAUAAAUGAACGGGAUAAUAAUAAUAACGAAAAUAAUCAUUAAACAGCUGAAUGUGAAUAGUGGAAUUUUUUAGAUUGAAAAUUAAAUUUGGAAAAUAGAAUUUUGAAAAAUUGAACUUUAAUUAUUGAAAAUUUUAAAAUAAAUGAAUGGAAUAAUAAUAAUAAUAAUGAGAAUAAUAUUUAAACGAAUGAACGUGAAUAGUGGAAUCUUUGAGAUUGAAAAUUAAAUUCGGAAGUCAAAUUUUUCAAGAAUUGAACUUUAAUGAUUUGAAUUUUUAAAAUAAAUAAAUAAAUAAAUAUGGAAUGAUAAUAAUAAUAACAAAAAUAAUGUUUAAACGAAUGAAAGUGAAUAGUGGAAUUUUUUAGAUUGAAAAUUAAAUUCGGAAGUAAGAUUUUUGAAUAAUUAAACUUUAAUGAUUGAAAAUUUUAAAAUAAAUAAAUAUGGAAUAAUAAUAAUACUAACAAAAAUAAUGUUUAAACGAAUAAACGUGAAUAGUGGAAUUUUUUAGAUUGAAAAUUAAAUUCGGAAGUCAGAUUUUUUAAUAAUUGGACCUUAAUUAUUUGAAUUUUUAAAAGAAAUAAAUAAAUAAAUAUGGAAUGAUAAUAAUAAUAACAAAAAUAAUGUUUAAACGAAUGAACGUGAAUAGUAGAAUUUUUUAGAUUGAAAACUAAAUUCGGAAGUCAGAUUUUUGAAAAAUUGAACCUUAAUGAUUUGAAUUUUUAAAAGAAAUAAAUAAAUAUGGAAUGAUAAUAAUAAUAACAAAAAUAAUGUUUAAACGAAUGAACGUGAAUAGUGGAAUUUUUUUAGAUUGAAAAUUUGAAGAGUUAUUUAGAGAUGGGAUUUUAAAAAUAAGUAGAUAAAUAAAUAAACGAAAUAAUAAUGAUUAAAUAAAUAGAUGUGAAGAUUAGAAUUUUGGAAAUUAGAAUUUUAGAGAAUUGUUUAAAAAUGAAGGUUUAAAAAAAAAAAAAUUGGAGUUUUGAAAAUUAUUUGAAAAUUUGGAGUUUUAAAAAUUAAAUUUAGAAAUUUAAAUUUUGGGAAUUAAAUUUGAGAGAAAUUGGAGUUUUGAAAAUUAAUUUGAAAAAAAAAUAAAGUUUGGAAAUAAGAGUUUUGAAGAUUAAAUUGAGAAAAUGAAGUUUCGAAAAUUAAUUUUGAAAGAAUUCGGAAUUUUGGAAAUUAAAUUUAAAAAUUAAAAAUUUGGAAGAUUAAAUUUAGACAUCAAAAUGUGAAAGAAUUAGAAAAAAUGUGAGAUUGGUAGUAGGUUGGUAGUGUCGGUGGAGACAAUGGAAAUUAGAACAUGGAGUGCAAGAUAGUUUUUCAUAUGAUGGCUAGCUUUUAUGGGUUAAGAAAAUAAUAAUAGAUAAAUAAAUAAAAAAUAAAUAAAACAAUAAAGAAACACAUUUGACUAAUGAUGAGAACUGGGGAUGGAGGCUCGUAAUGGUGCCCUCAUUAAAUGCUGCUCCCAAAAUCAAAGACAAACUGGAGUUAGCCUUAAUGACAUUUCAUGAGAGAGAAAAGUUUCAUGCUCCCGCUGUGCAGACUCGCCGGUCAUGCUCCCGCUGUGCAGACUCGCCGGCAUCCCCUCAUCGCUGCAUAGCUCCGCCAAGCACUCCGGCAGAGAUCUUCUUGUCCCUCUUCAAAAAUACAUCAACGCGUUUUCCUUCUCCGAGAAUUGUGUUGACCAGCUUCUCCCGUCCAAAAAGGCGAAAAUCCUUGGCUUUGAUGGAAGACGGCGAGAAUGGCACCCGCGAGAUUAUCCAAAAAUGAUGCAUCCAUAUUCCUCAAGGAUGAAUCAAUUAAACACAACUUUCAUCUAGAGAGCUUCCUCCCAAUCCCGGAAAAAAAAAUCUCAUUCCCCUUUUUUUUAUUUUUUUAUUUUUUUAUUUUUCUCCUUGAUUUUCUCAUCUAGAUACUCCUUUCAGACAUCCCCUCCGUAAGACCUCUUCCCUUUCCUUUUUCUUCCAUCUCCAUUUCCUACUGUUUGGUUUGUCCAGGUGGGGUAGAAAAGAAAAGAAUUGGGAAUAUUUGUAGCAUAAAUAGGUAGCGGAAAUCCCAUCUUACAGUCACAUUAACUUGCUUCUCAAUAUUAAAACAUUGAAACCAAUAUUUUAUCUCAUGCACCAGUAUGUGAAAUAUCAGUUCUUGAACAAAUAAUAACAUAACAGAAUCAUGAGAAUACGUAUGGCAAGAGGAAAUAAAACAUGAAAAUUGAUUUCGAAAGCAUAGCAUUCACUAACCUGUUUGCUGUCAACCCCAAAAAUGGCUCCUCAUGGUAUUUUCUGCUGCUUCCCCCUCCUAGAGCCCAGGCACCCGCCGCCCCUCUCUUUUUUCUCUUAUUUUUGUCUUUCUCAGCAAGCUACUACCCGCCUUCCCGUUCACCAGUCAGCAGGCAUGUCGUCUUCAACCACCACCAUGGCCGUCCACGCCCCUUGCCGUGUCCAUGCAGCUGGUCUCCUUCCAGAAAGGGGUCCCCCCUCCUACUUAAAAAAAUGAAAAAAAAUUCCAUCCUUUUUGUCGUCCGUAAAAGAGGGUCUACAAUAUGAUACAUAUCAUUGACUAGAAGGCGUAGAAUGGGACAAAUUCAAGGGUAGGCGGUAAGGGUGGGGUGGAUUCUAUGGAGGCUUUUGCAGAUGUAUGUAAAACUACAAGACCUUAAAACCUGUAUAAUACUGAUCAAAGUAUCGAAGGGAAGCUUGUUUUGUGCCUAAGAAAAAGCAUGGCGUCCUCUCUGUCCUUUCCAGGUAACUCCUUCACCCAGUCAAAACCCUUUAUGCAAUCUAAAAGGUUUCAGUUGAUCAUAUACUGUCAACACAUGCAUGGGAUAUUCAAAUUAUUAUUUAUGCUAUGGUCUAGUUGUCCAUUUUUGGACAGAUAUGUUCAUAUACCGAGAGAAAGAAAGGGAAAUAAAAAUGAAGCCUGUUGAACAUCCUUCAUCCAAUUUUGUUAACUAACUCUUAAUUUAUAAAUUUUCAAUAUGUCCAUUUUCAAUAUUCAUCCAAUUUUUUCCACAAAUAAUUUUAAUUGAAAAUUAAAAAAAAUUAACUAACUCUUAAUUUAUAAAUUUUGUUAUCGAUUUAUUUUUUUACAAUAUUUAGUUUAUUUUAAUUUUUUUUUUCCUUCACCUCCUCGUUUAUCACUUUAUAUUACAAAAUAAAAUAAAUUCUAAUUUCUUUUUGUAGAAAUUUUUUAUUUUUUAAAAUUAUUCAAUAUUUUUCAAUUUUUAUAAAAGAAUUUAUCAUAUUAUAUAAUUGGAUAUUGUAAAAAAUUAAAACUUUUGUAUUGCAUUCGAUUUUUUUUUUUUUCCUUUUUUGGAAUGGGAGUUGACUGGUUGGUAAUCCACAUAACAAGCUUUUUUUUUCUUUAUAUUCACAACCUUAACAUGUGGCAAAAUGUCAUUGGUGGAGGAUUUGAGGUGUGGUACUGAAAAGCAUAUAUGGGUACCAAAGCAUAACCCAAAAAUGAAUAGACACAUUUGGCAGCCAUCGCGGGACUAAAACAAAAAAAUUACCUUACCCAAUAAAAUGGUACAUGUUUAAUAAUUUAUUUCAAUUUGGACCAUAAUUCUCAUUCGUACUAUAUAUUUGGAAUCAUCAAUUGUAGCAGCCUGGCUUCAUCUACAACCUAAACAGACAAUGCCUAAACAUGGUGAUGGUGUUACAAUGCAAAAUUCACCAAUCCUUCUUCAAACUUUUUUGAGUUUUCCCUAGACAAUGCUCUGAUGAAAAGCCCAAGAAAGCCCAAAGGAAAGGAACAGAAAGGCUCACCCUUCUCUCAAGUCUCAUCUGCUGGUCCCCACCCAAAAUAUGGCCCCAAACUGCUUUCCAAACAAAGGCUGAAAAUUCUCCCCUGCCUGCCUGAAAUCAAUCUCAAUAGAGUGGUUGAUAAAAGAAGUGGACAAAGGAGAAGUAUGCCCAUAUACUUUCCAAGCAAUAUCCAUAAUUAGACUGGUAAGAGAAUAAGACUGGACUCCAAUUCAAUUCAAUUCAAUUCACUUAUUUAGUUUUUUCAUAUAAAGAUUAAAUAAUUUAAAAAUAUGGAAAUUUUUUAUUAAUUUUAAUUAUAUUUUAUUUUUUUAUUAUUUUUCAUACUAAAAUCAAAUAUAGAAAAAUCAUUUUUCUUUACAUUUCUUUUGUUUUUUUAGUACUUCCCGAAAAUCAUAGUCUUAAUAUUAUGUGUAUAUUCUUACAUAAAGAGCUAGUUGUUUGAGAUAACUUAUUUUAAAAAAUUUCUAAGAGAUGAAGUCAAUAUCAAAAUUUUAAAGGGAUAAUCUUAUUAUUAUAAAAUUUUUAUUAAAUACGAAUUUACUUCCAUGAAUAAAAAGAAAAAAAAAUUGUGAGAAGUAGCUUAAAUUUCUUUCUAUUAUUUUUGUUUUGUUAAGCUUUUUUAAUUUUAAAGUUACCAAUAAAUACAAUGUGUGAUGUACGCGUGAAAAUAAUAAAUAACUUAAUGUAUUUAGGCCACUUUUAAUAUAUGAAAUUCAAUAAUAGGAAUAGGAAUAGGAAAGUAAGUGUGAUUUAUUAUAUAAUAAGGUUAAAUCGUGCAUUAAUUACAAUUAUAAUGAAUGCCUAAAGAUGCCUUUAUCCCAACAGUGUGUGUGUGUGCAGGGGUGGAGCCACCUUGUGCCCAGAAGGGGCAAAUGCCCCCCUGAAAUUUAGGAAUAUAUAUAUAUUAUAUAUGAUACAUAUCAUUGACUUAAAGGUUACACUGAACAAAAAUAAGAAGUUUAGGAUAUCAAACACUAGCUACCCAUUUGGAAAAAAAAAUGACUGUUUCAAGUCCAUUUGGCAGCCAUUGCAGGACUAAAACAAAAAAAAUUACCUUACCCAAUAAAAUGGUAAUUUAUUUCAAUUUGGACCAUAAUUCUCAUUCCUACUAUAUAUUUAUUUAUAUUUGGAAUCAUCAGUUGUAGCAGCCUUGCUUCAUCUACAACCUAAACAUGGUGGUGGUGUUACAAUGCAAAAUUCACCAAUCCUUCUUCAAACUUUUUUGAGUUUUCCCUUGACAAUGCUGUGAUGAUAAGUCCAAGAAAGCCCAAUGAAAAGGAACAGAAAUGCUCACCCUUCUCUCAACUCUCAACUGCUGGUCCCCACCCAAAAUCUGGCCCUAAGCUCUUUCCAAACAAAGGCUGAAAAUUCUCCCCUGCCUGCCUGAAAUCAAUCUCAAAAGAUUGGUUGAUAAAAGAAGUGGACAAAGGAAAUCUAUGCCCAUACUUUCCAAGCAAUAUCCAUAAUUAGACUGGUAAGCGAAGAAGACUGGACGCCAAAAGGAUGCUGUGAGAUAUCUGGAAGAUCACCCAUGACAUUUUCAACGUACUGUGCAGUUGAAGGCCGAAAGAUAAACACAAAGCAUGAAACUUGGAAUAGCAGAAAUGGAAAGCAGCAUGUGCCUUAGCAGUGCAAUUUUGUCUCUGUGUUUGUCGUGUAUGUGGUUGGGAGUAGUGCCUUACAUUUCUGGUGCACAGACAGACACCAUCAAACCUCGGGAAGAGCUUCAAUUCUCGGAAAAAUUACUGGUUUCUGCAAAAGGGACUUUUACUCUAGGCUUCUUCAGCCUGCAAUCUGGCAGUUAUUUAGGAAUAUGGAACACAACUGAUCAUUCUAACAAGAAAGUUUGGGUUGCUAACAGAGACAAGGCUAUAUCCGGCACCGAUGCAAAUCUCACGCUGGAUGCCGAUGGCAAAUUGAUGAUCACUCAUAGUGAGGGUGAUCCAAUUGUCCUGAAUUCCAAUCAAGUAGCCAGAAACUCAACAGCUACUCUACUUGAUUCUGGAAAUUUUGUUUUGAAAGAGUUCAAUUCGGAUGGAUCUGUGAAGGAGAAACUAUGGGAGAGUUUCGAUAAUCCUACAGACACCCUCCUGCCUGGGAUGAAACUAGGCAUCAACUUGAAAACCGGGCGAAACUGGUCACUUGCUUCAUGGAUAAGCGAACAAGUGCCUGCUCCUGGGACUUUUACUCUGGAAUGGAAUGGCACACAAUUGGUGAUGAAACGCCGAGGGGGCACCUACUGGAGCAGUGGAACCUUGAAAGAUAGGAGCUUUGAGUUCAUUCCUUUGUUGAAUAACAUCUACAGUUUUAACAGUGUUUCGAAUGCAAACGAGAUUUACUUUAGCUAUUCAGUUCCAGAAGGAGUUGGUUCAGACUGGGUAUUGACCUCGGAAGGGGGACUUUUUGACACUAAUAGAUCUGUAUUUA